CAGACAGACAGUUCUCACAUGCAUACACAAACACACGAAAACGCAGAGCCCACAGCAAGAACAGGUGCAGAUUAAUUCCAACGAAUUCCCCGGCAGAAAUCCACCUGGGCUAGCUAGCCCUGACCGAAUAUCAGAAUAAGGGUAAACCAUAAACAGAAUUAUGACAAUAGGAAAAUGAAUCGACGAUUCAAGAAACUAUGGAUGAGUAGAAAAGCACUAGCCUCAGAUGCAUACGCUACACAGCAAACACACGAAAACGUAGAGCUCACUGAAAGAGCAGAUGCAGAUUAAUUCCAACGAAUAGCCCUGACUGAAUACCAGAAUAACAGAGAAGGUAAACCAUAAACCAAACGACAGCAUAGGAAAAGGAACUGUGAAUUAAGAACCGAACCUUGCCUGAUCUGGUUUCCUUCUAUUGUAUACACGCAGGUAUAAGUUUUCGGCGCAAACAAGCGCCAAUGUGGGGUAAAUAUUCAUCCAUCAGGAAACAGAAAAAACUAUCUCUCAGACCAUUUGUAAACCCCUCCUCUACUUCCACUUAUCUCGCGAUGAAUAAAGCUGUAGGAACUUGCUAAGAGCUGACGGUGGAAACCAUUUCGUAUUCGCUCGACGGCUUCCGUCUCUUGGAGCGGAGGAACAAGGCGCCCCCAAGCCACUGCUGAAAGAAAAGGAGCGUGGCCAGCAGGACCACCCCACAAGGUAUGACGAUGUCCCACGCGAGGCUGAAGAGGUCGUCGUGAGAGCUCGCGUAGAUGUAGGAUGGCCUCAUGCUGCGCACGAAGUGAUGGGUCCUGUAUGCAUCGUAUGCAUGAGGCAACACAUGCAGCAUGGUGCCCCCGAUGUAAAACACAGGGGAAAGCGCUCUGACUUUAGAGGCUGAGAACACAUUCAGGAUGGCCUGGGGGAGCAGGAACCCAUCGAGCAAUAAGCCCCCGAAAGGGACAAUGUCCUACCAGAAUGUAUGUCGUGGCGGCAUGAGGCGGGUAACUUGCCUCAACAUCAUUCUGCUGUGGUUGGUUCUCAUGUGGACAACCACAGUUACGACUCCGCCUAUGAUGUACAGCGGCAAACACACCAAGAGUACUUUCCUCUCUGCACAACACAACAUGUCCAACAUUCUCCAUAUUGAUUCUUUCACUCUUGUCUCUCAAGCUUAUAAUCUGCCUUAUACAUGUUGUGCUGCUUUCGCGUUCAGACUAGCAAAGUGAGCAAUUAUCAGAAUCUUACAGUCUGAGGAGACAUUAACCCCUCGACACGUGAUCAGGAAUAAGGAGCCUGUCUCCAUGUCAUAAACACCGACCGCCAAUUCCGCACGGGAUGAUCCUGAAUUUACCACAUGACACCCUUCCAGGCAAAGCCUGUUAGCAUUCUUAUCCCAGAAACCCUCUGCCUGGAAUAAUCUGACAUGUUGGAGAAGGGAACGGCUCUGCCUGGAAUAAUCUGACAUGUUGGAGAAGGGAACGGCGCCAUUCCCCGCUCAGCGCACCCUGUUGACGAACAUGUGCGUCUGGCGAAUCAUCAGCGAGGAGGCGGCCCACUUGCCGCCAUUGCCGUAGUCCAUGUCAGUUAAACCCUGAACCGAUUGUAGCUGAGUCGGUUUCCCCGGUUCUUUAGUUUGCUUUCGCAUGCAAUAAAGUGCAUGGCCGCGAUCUGUGCGUGCCGUGCGCGACUAGGAGUAGGAGGUGGCCGCGGUGAGCACGCACUCUUCGUGGACGUGGGAUGGCACGUUCGAGCGAGCGGGGUUGAGGCGUGCGAAUCGGCCGGGCUGUUUAGGUCGAACAGAAUAAGAGGAGAAGGAAAACAUAAAAGCAGCAUCAGUUGUGCGCUGCGCAAAACACUUGUCCCUGUGAGUUCAUCGAGAGCAGUGAGGGAGAGAACGAGCGCGGCGGUAGCCUGACAAUUGGCAUCAGAGCCACCAGCGACGAGGGCCAUGGCGGGCAGCAGGGAGGCCGGCGCCGACGAGGCACCGACUGUAGCUGCCCAGGGACUCGGCGGGGAGGCGACGCCACGGGCGCGGACGGAGACGCGGGGACGGAGCCGCGGACGCAGCCGCGUCAGAAGGAACCCGGGCGAGGUGAUCGUCCACGAGCGCGUGAUCCGGGAGGCGAGCAGGCAUGGCGGCGCUAUCAUCUACCCCACCCUGACGCCCACCAACUACAUUGAGUGGGCCCGGAUCAUGCAGAUCAACCUCCGCGCGCAGGGCCUAUGGGAGGCCAUGCUCGGCGACGGCAUGGUCACCGAUCGGGAGGACAUGGCGGCGCUCGCCGCACUCAUCCGCGCCGUCCCUCCAGAGAUGCACGGCGUCCUCGCCGUCAAGAACACCACGUAUGAAGCCUGGGAGGCCGUACGCACGAUGCGGCUAGGGGCGACCCGCGUCAGGGAGGCGACGACCCAACGCCUCCGCAGCGACUUCGAGCAGAUCACGUUCAGGGACGGCGAAACCCUGGACGCCUUCGCCAUGCGCAUCACCGACCUCGCCAACAACCUCCGAAUGCUGGGCGACGACGUGCAGGAGGUACGCGUUGUCCGAAAGAUCCUGCGCGUGGUGCCAGCUCGCUACGCGCAGAUCGCCUGCGCCAUCGAGACGCUCCUUGAUCUGUCGACGCUAACGGUAGAGGAGCUCGUCGGCCGCCUCCGAUCCACGGAGGAACGAUGCGCCGACGACACGAGGAACCAUAGCGGCCAGCUACUAUUCACGGAGCAGGAGUGGGAGGCGCGCAAGAGCCAGCGCGAGCUCGGGCAAGGUUCUGGCUCGAGCGGUGGCGCGAACGGAAAUGGCGGGCAACGACAAGGCAAACAGCCCGGCAGCGGCGGGCAGCGGCGCGACCGUGACAUGUCAAAGGUGAAGUGCUAUAACUGCAAUAAGUUAGGGCACUUCUCCAGGGACUGCAAGGAACCACGCCGCGAACGGCGUGGACAGGGACAGGGCGCGCCGGGGCAGGCGCCGGCGGCCCAGCCUCAGUAGAGGGCCAAUUUGGCCCGGAUCGACGAUGACGAGGCUGGCCUUCUACUAGCGCAGUCUUGCACCCUCCAUGAGCGGGAGCCUGCUCUCCUGAUGGCUACCGUUCUCCCGGCCGACGCGCACAAGGAGGUGGAGGGCGUCGCCGCAGCGCACGGGAACGCUAUCGGUGCGCCCACCUAUGUCGAGUUAGUCGAGGACCAAGUGCACCUGGCCAAGGAGCGGCGUGGCGAUGACGUAUGAUUCCUCGACAUAGGAGCCAGCAACCACAUGACUGGCGUGACGGGGGUCUUCGCCGAGCUCGACACCGGAGUCACGAGCACGGUGAAGUUCGGGGACGGCUCGCUAGUGGACAUCCAGGGGCGCGGAAUGAUCCUCUUCGCCUGUCGCAAUGGUGAGCACCGCGCUCUGACUGACGUCUACUAUAUCCCGCGUCUACACAGCAACAUCGUCAGCCUCGGGCAGCUCGACGAAACAGGCUGCCAGACCCUCAUCAAGCACGGCGUCCUCCGCCUGCGAGACCAGCAGCAGCAGCUCCUCGUCAAGGUGCAGCGCACGAGGAACCGCCUGUACGUGGUCACACUGGCCACCAUGCAGCCGGUGUGCCUCGCCGCGCACACUGGUGAGGCGGCAUGGACAUGGCACGAGCGCUAUGGGCACCUGAACUUCGACGCGCUCCGGAAGCUCGCACGCCACGGCAUGGUGCGCGGACUCCCAACGAUCGAGCAUGCACAGCAGCUAUGCGACAGCUGCCUGGCGGGAAAGCAGAGGCGGGCACCAUUCCCGCAAGCUGCCACGCGCCAUGCGGAGGGACUCCUAGACCUCGUGCACGGCGAACUUUGUGGGCUGAUCACUCCGGCCACCGCAGGAGGGAGGCAGUACUUCCUCCUCCUCGUCGAUGACCUGAGCCGCUACAUGUGGAUCAGGCUGCUCACCACGAAGGACGAGGCAGCUGCGGAGAUUAGGCGCUUCAAGGCCGGCGUCGAGGUCGAGACUGGCCGUAAGCUACACCUCCUCCGCACGGACCGCGGAGGGGAAUUCAUUGCCGCCACAUUCGCCACCUACUGUGCCGACGAGGGGGUGGGGCGCCAGCUAACGACACCCUACUCCCCGCAGCAGAACGGCGUCAUUGAGCGGCGCAACCAAACGAUCGUCGUUGCGGCAAGGUGCCUCAUGAAGGCCAAGGGGGUGCCGGCGAGGUUCUGGGGAGAGGCGGUGGCGACCGCCGUCUAUCUCUUGAACCGAUCACCCACGAAGAGUGUGGCUGGCAAGUCUCCCUACAAGGUGUGGCAUGGGCAUAAACCCAAUGUGGAUCACCUACGCGUGUUCGGCUGUGUUGCGCACGUCAAGGUGGUGAAGCCGCACGCCGCCAAGCUCGACGACUGGAGCAUGCCCAUGGUGUUCCUGGGAUAUGAGCCUGGAACGGCGGGGUAUCGCGUCCACGACCCAGUCCACAAUCAUGUGCAGGUGUCUCGUGAUGUCGUCUUCGACGAGGCCACACGGUGGGAUUGGGGGAGCAAUGGAGCAGCACCGAUGGCCGUGGAGUUCACCGUCGGCACCUACUCCUACACGGUGACAUGGCCGGCGGCGUCAUCUACACCACUCAGAAGGGCUUUGACCGCGGCGAGCGCGUGUGGCGAAAGCGCUGUCCCUGGGAUGGCCUCGCCGGGGCGAACGGAAGCGUCGCCACUGAGCCCAGAACCCUCUUCGGAGCAAGGAGAGGCCACGGCCGCCUCGCACGCCAACGAUGACGAAGCACUGCAUCCACGGCAUCCCAUGAUGACGCGUGCACGGGACGGUGUUGUGCAGCCGAACAAGCAGUACGAGGACUACGUCAUGCUCGCUCACGACGAUGAACUGUACCUCGGCGAGAUCGAUGAGCCCAAGACCUUUGCUGAGGCCGAGGGCGAGGGAACAUGGCGUCACGCCAUGGACGAGGAGAUGGCCUCGAUCAUCUCCAACAACACCUGGCGCCUCGUCGAUCUACCUACAGGCCACGAGGCGAUCGGGCUCAACUGGGUUUACAAGCUCAAGCGUGAUGCGAACGGCAACAUCCAGAAGCACAAGGAGCGCUUGGUUGCGAAGGGCUACGUCCAGAAGCAAGGAGUGGACUUCGAGGAGGUGUUCACUCCCGUGGCUAGACUUGAGUCCGUGCGGCUGCUGAUCGCUCUCGCCGCGCACGAAGGAUGGCAAGUUCACCACAUGGACGUCAAAAGCGUGUUUCUGAACGGCAACCUGAAGGAGGAGGUGUACGUCGCGCAGCCGCCGGGCUACGUCGUCGAGGGCCAGGAACACAAGGUGCUCCGCCUCGACAAAGCUCUCUACGGGCUGCGGCAAGCACCGCGUGCGUGGAACGCAAAGCUCGUCAGCUGUCUGCUUGGCCUCGGCUUCACCAGGAGCCCGGUGGAGCACACCGUCUACGGACGGGGAACGGGAGCGGCACGCCUGCUCGCCGGCGUGUACGUAGAUGACCUGAUCAUCACCGGCAAUGAUCACGACGAGAUCAACAAGUUCAAGAUGGAGAUGCAGAGGCUUUUCCGCAUGAGCGAUCUGGGUUUGCUGAGCUUCUACCUCGGCAUUGAAGUGAAGCAAACGACGAACGGCAUCUCCCUCAGCCAGGCAGCGUACGCCGGCAAGAUCAUCGAGAAGGCCGGCCUGCUGGGAUGUAACCCGUGCCACACUCCUAUGGAGCCACGGUUCAAGCUCAGCAGACUGAGUUCAGCUCCGGGCACAGACGAGACGGCGUACAGAAGCGUCGUGGGCGCACUGCGUUAUCUAGUGCACACGCGCCCGGACCUGGCCUACUCUGUGGGCUAUGUGAGCCGGUUCAUGGAGGCACCGACGACGGAGCACCUUGCUGCUGUCAAGCAAAUCAUCAGGUAUGUCGCGGGAAUGCAGCACUACGGCUGCUUCUAUGCGAGGGGCGCAACCGGGGCACCCCUGGUCGGCUUCAGCGACAGCGACAUGGCAGGCGACAUCGACACGCGCAAGAGCAUGGCCGGCGUCCUCUUCUUCUUCGGGCGGAGCUUGAUCAGCUGGCAGUCACACAAGCAAUGAGUGGUGGCCCUGUCCACCUACGAGGCGGAGUACAUCGCCGCCACAACGGCGGCCUGCCAGGGUGUCUGGCUCGCUCGGCUACUUGGCGACAUCAAGAACAAGGAGGCCGAGCAGGUCACGCUAAAGAUUGACAACAAGGCAGCUAUCUCCCUCAGCAAGAACCCCGUCUUCCACGAUCGCAGUAAGCACAUUGACACAAGGUUUCAUUUCCUGCGUGAAUGUGUUGAAGAUGGGCGCGUUGAGGUGGAGUUCAUCGGCACCAAUGGACAACUCGCCGACAUCCUGACAAAGUCGCUCGGGCGCUCAAGUUUCAGGAGCUUCGAGAAGAGAUUGGUGUAGUUCAUAUCCAGUAGUGGUUCAGGGUGUAGGGAGGCAAUGUCAGUUAAACCCUGAACCGAUUGUAGCUGAGCCGGUUUCCCCGGUUCUUUAGUUUGCUUUCGCACGCAAUAAAGUGCAUGGCCGCGAUCUGUGCGUGCCGUGCGCGACUAGGAGUAGGAGGUGGCCGCGGUGAGCACGCACUCUCCAUGGACGUGGGAUGGCAAGUUCGAGCGAGCGGGGUUGAGGCGUGCGAAUCGGCCGGGUUGUUUAGGUCGAACAGAAUAAGAGGAGAAGGAAAAUAGAAAAGCAGCAUCAGUUGUGCGCUGCGCAAAACACUUGUCCCUGUGAGUUCAUCGAGAGCAGUGAGGGAGAGAACGAGCGCGGCGGCAGCCUGACAGUCCAGCCUAAACCUUGGCUUGAGCAGUGACCUAAGGCCGGGGCAUGUGAAGUUCCUGCCGUCGAAUAGCAGGCAAAGGUCGCGGCCUUCGGCAGGUGGGCGAGGGCAGGACGUGCUCUAGGAGUAGGCGUACCCCUCCUCGGCGUAGUUGAGGAGUGAGACGGGCUCGAACAACAGGCCAGGGCCAGGGCCGCUGCAGCAGACAACUCGGCGCCGCGGAGGGGAAGACUGGUGUCCAACAGAAUACCGAGUUUAAAAAGAAGGGCAGGAAGACCUUCAAGAGAGAUAAGAAGAAGGGUGGCUGUUUCACUUGUGGUUCAGAUGAACAUUGGGCUGCCAAGUGCCCAAACAAGUUUAAGAAGCCAGGAUAGGACUCCAAGACUGUCAACAUGAUUGUGAGCAACGAUUAGAGUGGGUCAUCUGGGUACGGUAAUUUGUUUACUCUAUUUUCAGUUUGUCAGUCUACCGAUUGGUGGAUUGACACAGGUGCAAAUAUUCAUGUGUGUGCUGACAUUUCAUUGUUUUCUUCUUAUCAGGCCACAGGGAACGGGUCCAUACUGAUGGGGAACGGCCACUAGUGCAGAACCGGGCUUUAGCGCCGGUUCGUAAGGGCCUUUAGUGCCGGUUCUACAACCGGCACUAAAGAGUGAAGACUAAAGCCCUCCCCCCCUUUACUACCGGUUCGACACGAACCGGCGCUAAUGUGCCACCACGUGGCACGAGCCAGGCCAGGGUGCUGGUAUAUCAUUAGUACCGGUUGGUAACACCAACUGGUACUAAAUGUUUGGAGAGGUUUUGGUUUUGUUUUUCAUUUUCCAUUAAUUUUGUGUUUUCCAUUUAAUUCAUUUUUGUUUGCUGGUAUUUUAUGAUACUACAAAUUGUACACGUCAUGCAUAUAUAUAAAUAGAUUUUCUCGUAUGUAGAACCGCAUAUAUAUAUAUAUAUAUAUAUAUAUAUAUAUAUAUAUAUAUAUAUAUAUAUAUAUAUAUCAUCGAAUGUCUCACAACCAACACCAUUAAUUAUUCACACAUACACAUGUAAUAUAUAUAUAUACAAUUUCUCCUACUUGUUGCCUUGGUGCCUUCGGAGCACGAUGACAAGUGGUUCAUGGGGGCGGUAGUGGGUAAUAGUAUUCUCCUUUAGGGUCUAUGACCUGGUCGAGCAAAAAUCCCGUUAUUUCCUCUUGAAGUGCUAGUAUGUGGUCCGCUGGUAGGAGCUGCUCCCGCACUUCUCUGAACUAUGUUAAGAAGGAGAUCAAUAUGCAUGUGUAUUAGUUGUGUGACUAGAUAUCAAUAAUGGUGUGAAUAGUGUUCUGACAAACGUACCCAAUCCUGUCUUUGAGAUCUACUCCUUUCGGACGCCAUCAUGCGAAUGUUCUCGCAAACAAUGCACAUAGGUCAUUCCCCUGCACCUGCUUCAGGGCCUUUACGAGAAUGGAAUUGAAUCAGAUAAUGAUUAAUCAAGCAUGAUAAUUAAUUAAUGGUAUUGAAACCAGGAUUAAAGAGAUGGUAGCUAGCUAGCUAGCUAGUACUACUUAAUUACUUACCUUUGGUCGAUACCAAAACAGCUUUUUUGCCCAUUUGCCUGGAGUCAUCUUGAUGAACUUUGCCCAAGCCCUGCCCGCCGGCAAAGAAAAUUAAUAAAGGGGUUAUUAAAUAGUUCAUAUCAGGAGAUGACGAACUAAAUAGGCCGAGAUAUAGUUAAUAAUGAUCGAAAUUACCUGUUGACUAUCCCCUUCACGGUGGUGUAGUCACUUUCUUCUUUAAGUAGUGAGUCCAGUACUUCAACUGUUCCUUUGUCAACUUUAAUGUCUAACAAGAUCCAGUGGAAACUGCAUGCGCACACAUUUGCAUGUCUUAAUUAAGCGGGCAUGUGCGUAACACUAAUCAACUACCGUAAACCCUAUACACUUAAUUAUUAACAUCUAGCUAGCUAGUAAGCAAAAACAAAAUUUGUAGUACAAGACAGUGUGACUCACAGGACCUUGUAAGGAAGUAGUAUAUCUUCAUUGGUAUUAAGGCGCUUGAAGAACUCUAGCAUGAUUUCAUCUACACUUGCUUGAUAAAUUGGAAGAUUCCAUGUGUACUCAUUAAUGGUAUUUGAGUCAAUGAACCCAAUGCCAUAGCGUCCAGAUUUUUUUAUUUCAUAUAUCUUCAUCCUGCAUAUAAUACCACAGAAAAGAAUAUAGUGAGGAUAAUUACAUGUAAUGAUUGAUCAAAAUGAUCACUACAGCUAGCUUGAGACUUAAAUUAUAGAAAGAAAUCACUUAUAGACAAUAGCAACUGACGAUAGAUUUGUCGGGUGUGUCUUGAUUGUAUAACUGAAAUAGCUCUGAAUACUCAACGGACAUAGCUUUCUCAUGGAAGUAAUGCUCCUCCUUGACAUUCGCCAUGAGGGACACUCGAUUGGAAAUCUUGGUAAUGUUCAUGUACCAUUGAUGCAAUUCAUACAUUCUCGUUGGGAGGUUCUUGACCUUGUCUGGCUCGACCAAAGGUUGGCCCCGGACAUAUUUCCGUUUUAUUUCCUCCUCUCUAAGCGGAGGCAUGGGCUCGAUUUCGAGGAGUUGUCCAACAGUGAUCUUGAGCAUUUCAGCCUGCAUUAUAUGCUCCUCGGUUAUUACCACAUCGCCCAGCUGGGGAACGUUAAAGGUUUGCCCACAAUAAUAUUGGGAGCAUGUACUCUCAUGUGUUGUUGGCACAACAAGCGGGGGGAUCGAUUGCGCCGCCUGUUCUCCCAGCUAGGGAACGGUUUUCCCGCAUUUUUUGCCAGCUGCUUGUUGGCUCGAGCUCGAGCUCGCUUCCUUCUGUAGUCGUGCUCGAUGUAGCUUCUUGAUUUGGCGCUCAUAGUCUGAGUCAACAGGCUUGGGAGCUGGUGCUCUAGCCAUACGAAUGAAGUGGUCAAUCUUUUCCUCAGGCACUUUCUCCCUUGGCGGCGGUGCCGAUUUCGGUCCAAAAUGGGCAUCCACUUGGGCCUGCACUAUGGCAGCGUUUUGCUCCCCGAUCAAGUCGUAAGGCCUCUGAGGAAGAGGAGCGAGGCUUGGACCAUAUUUAUAUCGCUUGUCUCCGCCGGUACUUCAUGUACUACGUUGACUCGUACCGCUACACACCAUAGCCGCGGUGUGUGUCUUCUGCGAUUGCUGAGAUGGCGGAGACGGCUGACGUGAUUGACGUUGUGCCGGACUUGAAGCAGGAGGAGUGGCCUGACGUUGUGUCGGACUUGAAACCGGAGGAGUGGCUUGACGCUGUGCCGGACUUGAAGCAGGAGUCUGCUCACGCAUUCGGGGACUUGGAGGAGGUGGCGGACUUUGAGGAGGAGUCGGCUCACGCAUUCGUGGACUUGGAGGAGCGGGAGUCUGUUCACUCGGUGGCGGACAUCGAGGAGGAGUCGGCAGACAACACGGUGUCGGUGGACUUCGAAAGAUGAUGCAAUCCUUUCUCCAUAGGAUGAUACGAUGUAUGGCCUCUCCCAGUGUGCGCUCGUCUUCACCUCCAGGAAUGUGAAGCUGUAGCCCCGAAUAUGGGUCCACCACUUCAUCAACCAAGACACGAGCAUAGCCCUCUGGAAUCGGGGUGCAAUGGAAGGUUGCUUCGGGGGUAAUUGUAAAAGCAAUGCCGUCCGCCACCUUCAUGGAUAUGUUCUUCAUUUUGGAGUGUAGCUCACAGUUAGUGUUCUCUAGAUGUCAUCCACAGGGUAUGUAUCCAGCAAUGUGUCGCCCGAGGCAGAACCAACACUGCUUCUCAGCAUGGAUGGGACGAUGCUAUCCAAUGCUGGACGAUCAUCCGAUUGCUGCUGCCGCUGCUGAGACCCCCUUUCCUGGCUAAGUGAGUUGAUCUGCUGCUGUUGCUGCUGGAAUUUGAGUGCCAAGUCCGUGUGCCUUGCUUCUAGGCCUUGAAGGCGUUCUGCGUCCUGCUUCCUCUGCUCCUCCCCCAGCUUCCUCUUCUUCUCCUCCUCCAUCUUCUUUCUUGCACGGGACCUGUAGUCGUCGUUCCAUUCCAAAAAUCCCUCAUACUAGGGAAUAACGCCCUUGCCUCGCGUUCUUCCCGGGUGUUCAGGAUUUCCCAGGGCGCACAAAAGCUCGUCGUUCUCUCUAUUGGGCGUGAACACCCCCGUUCGAGCUUCUUCUAUUGCGUCAAGUAUCUUUUGUUCGACUCCUUUUAGACUUGCCUUCUGCGAAACCAGGCCUGUCUUCGGGUCCAACGCCCCCCAUGCGCAUAAAACCAAGUUUUGCACCUGGGGGGCCAGCUCCUAGUAACCGAAGUGACCCCUGCAUCCUCCAUCUUUUGCUCAGACUUAUCCCACUUAGGCAUUCCCACCGCAUAACCACCUGGACCCAGCCUAUGGAGUUGCGCCUUUUUUGCGGCAUUGGCCUUGUUUUUUUAUCGACCGUUCCUUAGAUAAUUCUGAUUCCUUGAAUUUCACGAAAUCGGCCCAGUGUUCUCUCUGCUUCUCUAGUGUUCCCGUGAAGUCUGGAGUCUUCCUUUCUGCAGCGAGGUAGUUGGCCCAUACAGUUUUCUUGUGGGUGUUGAAUGCAAUUGCCAUCUUCUUAAGAGCAGCGCCCUUGACUUUCUCCACAUCUGCUUCUGUGAAAUAAUCUGGUAGGGUGAAAUGUUCCAUCAGAGAUUCCCAAAAGUUUUUUUUGCUCUGUCGUCGACCCAAGUAACACCUGGACGUUUAGUUUUUGGCCCUUUCCAUUCUUGAAUGGAGAUCGGGAGUUGGUCCUUCACAAGAACUCCACACUGACGAGUCCACUUGUUCGCAAUGUUCUUAGGCGUGAGGGGUUCGCCACUAGGUUUGACGGAGUCGAUGUUGUACUUUACAUCCUCCUUCAACUUUUUGCUCGGGCCUCACUUUGUCCUGCUGUCUGUAGAAGCAGAUUUGCUCGAUCCGGAGGGCUGAAAGAAGAAAGAUCGAUUCGGUAAUAUAUCUUCAAAUAAAAAACAUGUGAUGAUCACCAGAUGCCUGCUUAUAUAAAUAUACCUCGCCGGUAGUCUUUGUUAUUUGAAGAUCAGCAUUGUCUGUGUCAUCAUAAACAUUGUCUGUGUCAUCAUAAUCAUAAUCGUAGUUCUUGACUUCAUCAGCUCGGUCAUUGACAUCGAAUAUCUUUUCAUCACCCUCUCUGGUAUUGUUCAGAUAUUGGGAGCCGUCAUCUUCUUCAUUUAGAUCAUCUAGCCUGCGAGGGCUGCAUAUGAUGUCGAACAAUUCCUCUUCUCUCUCUCUGCUGGUAUUGUACGCUAUAGCUUUUACUUAACUAAUACAGAAGAAAUAUAAAACAAUUUAGUAUUCAAAUUACAAUGCAUGGAUGGAAUCAAUAACGAAAAACUGAAUCAUAUAGUACAUAAUAUAUGCAUCGUCUCGAUUAAUAUAUAAUCUCGAAUACAUCAUCGUCUCGAGUACAUCUUCUCGAGUAUUAUAUAUCAAAUAAAUCACUGGCUAGGUACCUAAUAAAGAUCGAGUACUACAGAAGAAUCUAGGCCACUCGCGGUUCCUAGGGCGCGGGCGGUGGGCACCCAAAGAGAAGGAACCAUCACAGGAUCAUAUCUCCGGUGAUCUGCACAAAGAACCUGCCAAGUAUUUGAGAACCUGACGUCCAUAGCAGCCAUGUAGCAAUGAACAUGCUCGUCCUCCUCCCUAACACGGUGACGCACCACCUACGGCGGGGCCGGCUCCCUCUACACCGAAUGUGGCCCACAUGAACGCCACCAAAGGAGAUCAGGGUCGACGACGGGACCCGAGGCCGGGUUCCUCACCCUCCAGGUAGCACCUCCCAGUGCCUGCCCGGCGGAGCCCAGUCCCGGACAUGGGUCCUCUGAAGCAGGACGUCGUCGCGAAUGGGUCGACGGCGAGGAUGCGGGCCGGGCAUAUCGUCGAGAACAAAUACUAUAUGCCCGCAAAAAGUAACAUUUUUUAAAUGAUUGGAUUGUGAUAACUAAAAUUCUAUAUGCAAAUUCUAACAAUUUGACAUUAAUCUAACUCAUCUAACUAGAACUAAUUCUAAAAUUUCGAACAUUUCUGAUUAUAUAACUAACAUUUCUAUAACAUUUCUAAUAUUUUUAUAACUAAAAAUAGAAAACUUGCUAACAUUUCUAUAAAUAUUUCUAUAACUAAAAAACAGAAAAAAAUUAUAACAUUUCUAUAUAACUAACAUUUCUAAUAUUUCUAUAACUAAGGAACAGAAAAAUUUCUAACAUUUCUAUAGAUAUUUCUAUAACUAAAAAACAGAAAAAAUUUCUAUAACUAAAAUUUAUAACAAAAAAACUAAUGUGUGUGUGUGUGUGGACAUGGCGGCCGGGGCAUGAGCUCACCGGUGAGGCGACGACGGGGCGGUGACGACGGGACGACGGGACGGGGCGACGACGACGGGGCGGGGUGCGGCGUCGGGGCGGGGCGCGGCGAUGGGGAUGGGGACGGCCGAGGAGACGAUGACGAUGAGGGGCGGGGACGGCCAGGGCGGCGACGGCGUCGAUCGGGGCAGGCGGCGUGUCGUCGAUGGAGAGGAAGAAACAGAGGGAAACUGAAUUUUUUUCAAGUUUUGUAUAUCUUUAGUAUUGGUUGGAGCAUCAACCGUUACUAAAGGUCUGUUUUGGCCAGGCCAAGCGGCGGGAAGCGCCCCUCCUUUAGUACCAGGUCGUGGCACCAACCGGUACUAAAGACCCCCUCUUUAGUACCGGUUGCAGCCACCACCCGGUACUAAAGGGGGUGCGCUGGUGCAGGUGCGGUGCGGCAAGUUUAGUCCCACCUCGCUAGCCGAGGGGCGUCCGCACUGGUUUAUAAGCCCCAAUGUCGUAGCUCUCUCGAGCUCCUCUCCAAAGCAGGCCUACUGGGCCUACCUGUUCUCUACUGCGCUAUGGGCCUACUGGGCCUUUGUGGGCCUGCAUCUUGGCCCAACAAAACAUUGUGUUUCUAGUCGUAUGCAGGCCGCUCUGGCCUAGUAGGCGGGCUUUUUUAUUUUCUUAAGUUUUUGCUUUAAUUUUUUUGUUUUAUUUAUUUUUGAGUUGUUUUUUGCUGUAUUUAGAGUUUCUUUGUGAAUAUUUUUGCUUUAGGUUAGUGCCGGUAGUUUCUGUUAGUGCCGGUAGUUUUCAAAUUGAAUAGUUUAAAUUUUGAAUUAUUUGAAAUUUGUGUGAAUCACUAGUUUAUGAAUAACUUAACUUUGAAAAUAGAUUUUUUAGUGAUUCUUUUUUAUAUGUUUAAUAUUAGUGUGUUUUAUCAUUAUAUUCAAUUUGGUAAUGCUUAGGUUAUUUAAAAAAUGAAAUGCCUUCGUAACAGAUGAGUUUUCGUUCAAAACCCUAAUACUUCGGAAGAGAUUGUCCAUUUUGUACACGAAGUGCAUCCAGUUUUUGCCGUAACCCUCUCUACUUCUUUGCACAUGCUAUGUGGGUGAAAUUAUGAUACCAUGCCAACUUUCAACCUUUUCUGAGUUCAUUUGAAAUUCUUUUCAAUUUCAGGGUCAUUUAGCUGAAAAAAUCGGUAAAUGCAUGAAAGAAUUUGUUUGCACAUAAAAUUUCUUCGCGUUUCAAAUGCCAAAACACAUAACUACCCUAACUAUUACAGAGAUUCCCUCCUGGGUGUGAAACACAGAAGAAAGUGAUGAUAGUGAAGCCAAUCACAUCCUAGAUCUUUGGGUGUGAAACUUUUCCUUCACGUGUGUCCCUUUGCGCCGUAGCCAUGGAAAAUCUUCAUCAUUUAACUGGAUGCUUGGGUCAAUAUUCACUAUGAAUGGAGCAAUUUCAUCAAACUUUUCAUAAUCUUCUGACAUGUCUGUCUUGUCAUCCACUCCCACAAUGUUUCUUUUCCCUGAAAGAACUAUGUGGCGCUUUGGCUCGUCAUAUGAUCCAUUCGCUUCCUUAUCUUUUCUUUUUCUCGACUAGGUAGACAUGUUUUUCACAUAAAAAACCGGCGCCACAUCAUUGGCUAGGAUGAAUGGUUCGUCUACAUACGCAAGAUUGUUGAGAUCCACUGUUGUCAUUCCGUACUACGGGUCUUCCGUUACCCCCCUCGUGUCAUAUUGACCCAUUUGCACCGAAACAAAGGGACCUUCAAACCACCUCCAUAGUUAAGUUCCCAUAUGUCCUCUAUGUAACCAUAAUAUGUUUCCUUUCCCGUGUUGGUUGUUGCAUCAAAGCAGACACCACUGUUUUGGUUGGUGCUCUUCUUAUCUUGGGCGAUCAUGUAAAAUGUAUUCCCAUUUAUCUGGUACCCUUUGAAAGUCAUUAUAUUCGAAGAUGGUAACUUGGACAGCGAAUACAGGUCAUCUUCAAUAUUGCCAUCAUGCAUGGCACGUUUCUGCAACCAACCGGCGAAAGUCCUCGUUUGUUCACGUGUAAUCCAGUCGUCAGACUUCUCCGGGUGUUUGGAGUGUAGAAAAUUCUUGUGUUCCUCCAUAUACAGAGCCACCAAGGCGGAGUUCUGUAGAACUGUGUAGAGUGCUUCAGUGAGAGAAUGCCCGUCCAUACAUAUUAUUUGAUCCCCUCCUAGCAUGCCUUUUCCAUCCAGUCUACCCUUAUGCCGCGAUUCAGGAACACCAAUCGGUUUAAGGUCAGGAAUAAAGUCAAUACAAAACUCAAUGACCUCCUCAUUUUCAUGGCCCUUCGAGAUGCUUCCUUAUGGCCUAGCACGGUUAUGAACAUAUUUCUUUAAGACUCCCAUGAACCUCUUAAUGGGGAACAUAUUGUGUAGAAAUACAGGACCCAAAACGUUAAUCUCUUCGCAAAGGUGAACUAGGACGUGCGUCAUGAUGUUGAAGAAGGAUGGUGGGAACACCAACUCAAAACUGACAAGACUUUGCACCAAAUCAUUCUGUAACCUUGGUAUGAUUUAUGGAUCGAUUACAUUCUGAGAGAUUGCAUUGAGGAAUGCACAUAGCUUCACAAUGGCUAAUUGAAUGUUUUCCGGUAGAAGCCCCCUCAAUGCAACCGGAAGCAGUUGCGUCAUAAUCACGUGGCAGUCAUGAGACUUUAGGUUCUGGAACUUUUUCUCUGCCAUAUUUAUUAUUCCCUUUAUAUUCGAUGAGAAGCCAGAUGGUACCUUCAUGCUGAGCAGGCAUUCAAAGAAGAUUUCCUUCUCUUCUUUGGUAAGAGCGUAGCUGGCCUGACACUGAUGUAUGCCGUCUUUUCCGUGCAUACGUUGCUGGUCCUCCCGUGCCUCUGGUGUAUCUUUUGUCUUCCCAUACACGCCCAAGAAGCCAAGCAGGGUCACGCAAAGAUUCUUCGUCACGUGCAUCACGUCGAUUGCGGAGCGGACCUCUAGAUCUUUCCAAUAUGGCAGGUCCCAUGUUGGGGAACGUUGCAGAAAAUAAAAAAAUUCUACGCUUCACCAAGAUCAAUAUAUGGAGUCAUCUAGCAACGACAGAGAGGAGUGCAUCUACAUACCCUUGUAGAUCGCGUGCGGGAGCGUUCAAGAGAACGGGGUUGAGGGAGUCGUACUCGUCGUGAUCCAAAUCACCGAAGAUCCUAGUGCUGAACGGACAACACCUCCGCGUUCAACACAUGUACGGUUGGGAAGAUGUCUCCUCCUUCUUGAUCUAGCAAGGGGGAAGGAGAGGUUGAUGGAGAUCCAGCAGCACGACGGUGUGGUGGUGGAAGUAGCGGCGAUCUCGGCAGGGCUUCGCCAAGCUCUACCAGAGGGAGAGGUGUUGCAGAGGAAGAGGGAGGCGCCAGGAGCAGGGGUGCGCAGCCCUCCCUCCCCCCUCUUUAUAUAGGGGCCCUGGGGAGGCGCCGACCCCGUAGUGAUUGGAUAUCAAGGGGGGGCGGCAGCCAAGAGGGUGGCUUGCCUCCCAAGCCAAGUGGGGCGCCCCCCACCCCUAGGGUUUCCAACCCUAGGCGCAGGGGGAGGCCCAAGGGGGGCGCACCAGCCCACCAGGGGCUGGUUCCCCUCCCACUUCAGCCCAUGGGGCCCUCUGGGAUAGGUGGCCCCACCCAGUGGACCCCCAGGACCCUUCCGGUGGUCCCGGUACAAUACCGGUGACCCCCAAAACUUUCCCGAUGGCCGAAAUUGGACUUCCUAUAUAUAAUUCUUCACCUCCGGACCAUUCCGGAACUCCUCGUGACAUCCGGCAUCUCAUCCGGGACUCCGAACAACUUUUGGGUUACCGCAUACUAAUAUCUCUACAAGCCUAGCGUCACCGAACCUUAAGUGUGUAGACCCUACGGGUUCGGGAGACACGCAGACAUGACCGAGACGACUCUCCGGUCAAUAACCGACAGCGGGAUCUGGAUACCCAUGUUGGCUCCCACAUGCUCCUCCAUGAUCUCAUCGGAUGAACCACGAUGUCGAGGAUUCAAGUAAUCCCGUAUACAAUUCCCUUUGUCAAUCGGUACGUUACUUGCCCGAGAUUCAUGAUCCCGUGACCAAACACUUGGUCACAUUGAGCUCAUUAUGAUCAUGCAUUACCGAGUGGGCCCAGAGAUACCUCUCCGUCAUACGGAGUGACAAAUCCCAGUCUCGAUCGGUGUCAACCCAACAGAUACUUUCGGGGAUACCCGUAGUAUACCUUUAUAGUCACCCAGUUACGUUGUGACGUUUGGUACACCCAGAGCACUCCUACGGCAUCCGGGAGUUACACGAUCUCAUGGUCUAAGGAAAUAAUACUUGACAUUGGAAAAGCUCUAGCAAACAAAGUACACGAUCUUGUGCUAUGCUUAGGAUUAGGUCUUGUCCAUCACAUCAUUCGCGUAAUGAUGUGAUCCCGUUAUCAACGACAUCCAAUGUCCAUAGUCAGGAAACCAUGACUAUCUGUUGAUCAACGAGCUAGUCAACUAGAGGCUCACUAGGGACAUGUUGUGGUCUAUGUAUUCACACGUGUAUUACGAUUUCUGGAUAACACAAACAAUUAUAGCAUGAAUAACAGACAAUUAUCAUGAACAAGGAAAUAUAAUAAUAAUCAUAUUAUUAUUGCCUCUAGGGCAUAUUUCCAACAGUCUCCCACUUGCACUAGAGUCAAUAAUCUAGUUACGUUGUGAUGAAUCGAACACCCAUAGAGUUCUGGUGUUGAUCAUGUUUUGCUCGCGGAAGAGGUUUAGUCAAUGGAUCUGAGACAUUCAGAUCCGUAUGCACUUUGCAAAUAUCUAUGUCUCCAUCUUGAACAUUUUCACGAAUGGAGUUGAAGUGAAGCUUGAUGCGCCUGGUCUUCUUGUGAAACCUGGGCUCCUUGGCAAGGGCAAUAGCUCGAGUGUUGUCACAGAAGAGAGUGACCGGCCCCGACGCAUUGAGUAUGACUCCUAGGUCGGUGAUGAACUCCUUCAUCCAGAUUGCUUGAUGCGCUGCCUCCGAGGCUGCCAUGUACUCCGCUUCACAUGUAGAUCCCGCCACGAUGCUUUGCUUGCAACUGCACCAGCUUACUGCCCCUCCAUUCAAAAUAUACACGUAUCCGGUUUGUGACUUAGAGUCAUCCAGAUCUGUGUCAAAGCUAGCGUCAACGUAACCCUUUACGACGAGCUCUUCGUCACCUCCAUAAACGAGAAACAUAUCCUUAGUCCUUUUCAGGUACUUCAGGAUGUUCUUGACCGCUGUCCAGUGUUCCAUGUCGGGAUUACUUUGGUACCUUCCUACCAAACUUAUGGCAAGGUUUACAUCAGGUAUGGUACAUAGCAUGGCAUAUAUAAUAGACCCUAUAGCUGAGGCAUAGGGGAUGACACUCAUCUUUUCUCUAUCUUCUGCCGUGGUCGGGCAUUGAGCUGAGCUCAAUUUCACACCUUGCAACACAGGCAAGAACCCCUUCUUGGACUGAUCCAUAUUGAACUUCUUCAAUAUCUUAUCAAGGUAUGUGCUUUGUGAAAGACCUAUGAGGCGUCUCGAUCUAUCACUAUAGAUCUUGAUGCCUAAUAUGUAAGCAGCUUCUCCAAGAUCCUUUAUUGAAAAACACUUAUUCAAGUAGGACUUAAAGCUGUCCAAAAGUUAUAUAUCAUUUCCCAUCAAAAGUAUGUCAUCUACAUAUAAUAUGAGAAAUGCUACAGAGCUCCCACUCACUUUCUUGUAAACGCAGGCUUCUCCAUAAGUCUGCAUAAACCCAAACGCUUUGAUCAUCUCAUCAAAGCGAAUGUUCCAACUCCAAGAUGCUUGCACCAGCCCAUAAAUGGAUCGCUGGAGUUUGCAUACCUUGUUAGCAUUCUCAGGAUUGGCAAAACCUUCCGGGUGCAUCAUAUACAGUUCUUCCUUAAGAUAGCCGUUAAGGAAUGCCGUUUUGACGUCCAUUUGCCAUAUCUCAUAAUCAUAGUAUGCGACAAUUGCUAACAUGAUUCGGACGGACUUCAGCUUCGCUACGGGAGAGAAAGUCUCAUCAUAGUCAACCCCUUGACAAGUCGAGCUUUAUGGAUGGUAACAUUACCAUCCGCAUUCGUCUUCUUCUUAAAGAUCCAUAAUUUUUCUAUCGCUCGCCGAUCAUCGGGCAAGUCUGUCAAAGUCCAUACUUUGUUUUCGUACAUGGAUCCUAUCUCGAAUUGCAUGGCUUCAAGCCAUUUGUUGGAAUCUGGACCCGCCAUCGCUUCUUCAUAGUUCGAAGGUUCACCGUUGUCUAACAACAUGAUUUCCAGGACAGGGUUGCCAUACCACUCUGGUGUGGAACGUGUCCUGGUGGACCUACAAAGUUCAGUAGUAACUUGAUCCGAAGUACCUUGAUCAUCAUCAUUAACUUCCUCUCUAGUCGGUGCAGGCACCACAGGAACAUCUUCCUGAGCUGCGCUACUUUCCGGUUCAAGAGGUAGUACUUCAUCAAGUUCCACUUUCCUCCCACUUACUUCUUUCGAGAGAAACUCUUUCUCCAGAAAGGACCCGUUCUUGGCAACAAAGAUCUUGCCUUCAGAUCUGAGGUAGAAGGUAUACCCAGUGGUUUCCUUAGGGUAUCCUAUGAAGACGCAUUUUUCCGACUUGGGUUCGAGCUUUUCAGGUUGGAGUUUCUUCACAUAAGCAUCGCAUCCCCAAACUUUUAGAAACGACAGCUUAGGUUUCUUCCCAAACCAUAAUUCAUACGGUGUCGUCUCAACGGAUUUAGACGGUGCCCUAUUUAAAGUGAAUGUAGCUGUCUCUAGAGCGUAUCCCCAAAAUGAUAGCGGUAAAUUGGUGAGUGAUGUCAUAGAUCGCACCAUAUCGAAUAGAGUGCGAUUACGACGUUCGGACACACCGUUACGCUGAGGUGUUCCAGGCGGCGUGAGUUGUGAAACGAUUCCACAUUUCCUUAAGUGCGUACCAAAUUCGUGACUUAAAUAUUCUCCCCCACGAUCUGAUCGUAAGAAAUUUAUCUUUCGGUCACGUUGAUUCUCGACCUCAUUCUGAAAUUCCUUGAACUUUUCAAAGGUCUCAGACUUGUGUUUCAUCAACUAGACAUACCCAUAUAUACUCAAGUCGUCAAUGAGAGUGAGAACAUAACGAUAGCCUCUGCGAGCCUCAACGCUCGUUGGACCGCACACAUCAGUAUGUAUGAUUUCCAAUAAGUUGGUUGCUCGUUCCAUUGUUCCAGAGAACGGAGUCUUGGUCAUUUUGCCCAUGACGCAUGGUUCGCAUGUGUCAAAAGAUUCGUAAUCGAGAGACCCUAAAAGUCCAUCAGCAUGGAGCUUCUUCAUGCGCUUGACACCAAUGUGACCAAGGCGGCAGUGCCACAAGUAUGUGGGACUAUUGUUAUCAACCUUACAUCUUUUGGUAUUCACAUUAUGAAUAUGUGUAACAUCACGUUCGAGAUUCAUUAAGAAUAAACCAUUGACCAGCGGGGCAUGACCAUAAAACAUAUCUCUCAUAUAAAUAGAACAACCAUUAUUCUCGGAUUUAAAUGAGUAGCCAUCUCGUAUUAAACGAGAUCCAGAUACAAUGGUCAUGCUCAAAGCUGGCACUAAAUAACAAUUAUUGAGGUUUAAAACUAAUCCCGUAGGUAAAUGUAGAGGUAGCAUGCCGAUAGCGAUCACAUCGACCUUGGAACCAUUCCCGACGCGCAUCGUCACCUCAUCCUUCGCCAGUCUCUGCUUAUUCCGCAGCUCCUGUUUUGAGUUACAAAUAUGAGCAACCGCACCGGUAUCAAAUACCCAGGAGCUACUACGAGUACUGUUAAGGUACACAUCAAUUACAUGUAUAUCACAUAUACCUUUAGUGUUGCCGGCCUUCAUGUCCGCUAAGUAUUUGGGCAGUUCCGCUUCCAGUGUCCGCUUCCCUUGCAAUAAAAGCACUCAGUCUCAGGUUUGGGUCCAUUCUUUGGCUUCUUCCCGGCAACUGGCUUACCGGGCGCAGCAACUCCCUUGCCGUCCUUCUUGAAGUUCCUCUUACCCUUGCCUUUCUUGAACUUAGUGGUUUUAUUGACCAUCAACACUUGAUGUUCCAUUUUGAUCUCCACCUCCGCUGAUUUCAGCAUUGAAAAUACUUCAGGAAUAGUUUUCACCAUCCCCUACAUAUUGUAGUUCAUCACAAAGCUCUUGUAGCUAGGUGGGAGCGACUGAAGGAUUCUGUCAAUGACCGCCUCGUCCGGGAGGUUAAUGUCCAGCUAGGACAGGUGGUUGUGCAACCCAGACAUUUUGAGUAUGUGCUCACUGACACAACUAUUUUCCUCCAUCUUACAACUGUAGAACUUGUCGGAGACUUCAUAUCUCUCGACCCGGGCAUGAGCUUGGAAAACCAUUUUCAGCUCUUCGAACAUCUCAUAUGCUCCGUGUUGCUCAAAACACUUUUGGAGCCUCGAUUCUAAGUUGUAAAGCAUGCCGCACUGAACGAGAGAGUAAUCAUCAGCACGUGACUGCCAAGCGUUCAUAAUUUCUUGGUUCUCUGGGAUGGGUGCGUCACUUCUAGGACAUAUGCUUUCUUGGCAGCUAUGAGGAUGAUCCUGAGGUUCCGGACCCAGUCCGUAUAGUUGAUGCCAUCAACUUUCAGCUUGGUUUUCUCUAGGAACACGUUGAAGUUGAGGUUGACAUGAGUGUUGGCCAUUUGAUCUACAAGACAUUUUGCAAAGGUUUUUAGACUAAGUUCAUGAUAAUUAAGUUCAUCUAAUCAAAUUAUUUAAAGAACUCCCACUCAGAUUAGACAUCCCUCUAGUCAUCUAAGUGAUACAUGAUCCAACUCAACUAGACCGUGUCCGAUCAUCACGUGAGACGGACUAGUCAUCAUCGGUGAACAUCUCCAUGUUGAUCGUAUCUUCCAUACGACUCAUGUUCGACCUUUUGGUCUCUUGUGUUCCGAGGCCAUGUUUGUACAUGCUAGGCUCGUCAAGUCAAUCUAAGUGUUUUGCAUGUGUAAAUCUGUCUUACACCCGUUGUAUGUGAACGUUAGGAUCUAUCACACCCGAUCAUCACGUGGUGCUUCGAAACAACAAACUUUCGCAAUGGCGCACAGUUAGGGGGAACACUUUCUUGAAUUUAUUAUGAGGGAUCAUCUUAUUUACUACCGUCGUUCUAAGCAAAUAAGAUGCAAAAACAUGAUAAACAUCACAUGCAAUCAAAUAGUGACAUGAUAUGGCCAAUAUCACAUUGCUCCUUUGAUCUCCAUCUUUGGGGCGCCAUGAUCAUCUUCGUCACCGGCAUCACACCAUGAUCUCCAUCAUCGUGUCUCCUUGAAGUUGUUCGCCAACUAUUACUUCUACUACUAUGGCUAACGGUUUAGCAAUAAAGUAAAGUAAUUACAUGGCGUUUAUUCAUUGACACGCAGGUCAUACAAUAAAUAAGACAACUCCUAUGGCUCAUGCUGGUAGUUAUACUCAUCGACAUGCAAGUCGUGAUUCCUAUUACAAGAACAUGAUCUCAUACAUCACAUAUAUAUCAUUCAUCACAACCUUUUGGCCAUAUCACAUCACAAGGCAUAUGCUGCAAAAACAAGUUAGACGUCCUCUAAUUGUUGUUGCAUGUUUUUACGUGGCUGCAAUAGGGUGCUAGCAAGAACGUUUCUUACCUACGUAAAAGCCACAACAUGAUAUGCCAAUUUCUAUUUACCCUUCAUAAGGACCCUUUUCAUCGAAUCCGAUCCGACUAAAGUGGGAGAGACAGACACCCACUAGCCACCUUAUGCAACUAGUGCAUGUCAGUCGGUGGAACCUGUCUCACGUAAGCGUACGUGUAAGGUCGGUCCGGGACGCUUCAUCCCAUGAUACCACCGAAAAAAGAUAAGACUAGUAGUGGCAAGAAAAUUUACAACAUCUACGCCCACAACAAAUUUGUGUUCUACUCGUGCAAAGAAAAGUACGCAUAGACCUAGCUCUGAUACCACUAUUGGGGAACAUUGCAGAAAAUAAAAAAAUUAUGCGCUUCACCAAGAUCAAUCUAUGGAGUCAUCUAGCAACGAGAGACAGGAGUGCAUCUACAUACCCUUGUAGAUAGCGUGCGGAAGCGUUCAAGACAACGGGGUUGAGGGAGUCGUACUCGUCAUGAUCCAAAUCACCGAAGAUCCUAGUGCUAACGGACAGCACCUCCGUGUUCAACACAUGUACGGUUGGGAAUACGUCUCCUACUUCUUGAUCCAGCAAGGGGGAAGGAGAGGUUGAUGGAGAUCCAGCAGCACGACGGCGUGGUGGUGGAAGUAGCGGCGAUCUCGGCAGGGCUUCACCAAGCUCUACGAGAGGGAGAGGUGUUGCAGAGGGAGAGGGAGGCGCCAGGAGCAGGGGUGCGCAACCCUCCCUCCCCCAUCUUUAUAUAGGGGCCCUGGGGGGCGCCGGCCCCCUAGAGAUUGGAUCUCAAGGGGGGGCGGCCAAGGGGGUGGCUUGCCCCCAAGCCAAGUGGGGCGCCCCCACCCCUAGGGUUUCCAACCCUAGGCGCAGGGGGAGGCCCAAGUGGGGCGCACCAGCCCACCAGGGGUUGGUUCCCCUCCCACUUCAGAUCUUGUGCUAUGCUUAGGAUUGGGUCUUGUCCAUCACAUCAUUCUCCUAAUGAUGUGAUCCCGUUAUCAACGACAUCCAAUGUCCAUAGUCAGGAAACCAUGACUAUCUGUUGAUCAACGAGCUAGUCAACUAGAGGCUCACUAGGGACAUGUUGUGGUCUAUGUAUUCACACGUGUAUUACGAUUUCCGGAUAACACAAUUAUAGCAUGAAUAACAGACAAUUAUCAUGAACAAGGAAAUAUAAUAAUAAUCAUUUUAUUAUUGCCUCUAGGGCAUAUUUCCAACAUACGUUGCUGGUCCUCCCGUGCCUCUGGUGUAUCUUUUGUCUUCCCAUACAUGCCCAAGAAGCCAAGCAGGGUCACGCAAAGAUUCUUCGCCACGUGCAUCACGUCUAUUGAGGAGCGGACCUCUAGAUCUUUCCAAUACGGCAGGGCCCAAAAUAUAGAUUUCUUCUUCCACAUGGGGGCGCGUCCGUCAGCGUCCUUCGGAACAGGUUGUCCGCCAGGACCCUUUCCAAAGAUUACCUUCAAAUCCUUGACCAUAUCAGGUACAUCAGCACCAGUACGGUGGCGAGGCUUCGUCCGAUGAUCCGCCUCACCUUUGAAAUGCUUGCCUUUCUUUCUUACAGGAUGCCUGCUCGGAAGAAAUCGACGAUGUCCCAGGUACACAUUCUUCCUACAACUAAUCAAAUAUAUACUGUCGGUAUCAUCCAAACAGUGCGUGCAUCCGCGAUAUCCCUUGUUUGUCUGUCCUGAAAGGUUACUGAGAGCAGGCCAAUCAUUGAUGGUCACGAACAGCAACGCCUUUAGGUCAAAUUCUUCCUGUCCGUGCUCAUCCCACGCACGUACACCUUUUCCAUUCCACAGCUGUAAUAGUUCUUCAACUAAUGGCCUUAGGUACACAUCAAUGUCGUUGUCGGGUUGCUUAGGGCCUUGGAUGAGCACUGGCAUCAUAAUGAAUUUCCGCUUCAUGCACAACCAAGGAGGAAGAUUAUACAAAUAUAGAGUCACAGGCCAGGUGCUAUGGCUGCUGCUCUGCUCCCCAAAAGGAUUAAUGUCAUCUGUGCUUCGACCAGACCAUACGUUCCUUGGGUCACCUGCAAACUCCUCCCUGUACUUUCUCUUGAUUUUUCUCCACUGCGAACCGUUAGCGGGUACUCUCAACUUUCCGUCUUUCUUACAGUCUUCUCCAUGCCACCACAUUGCUUUCGCAUGCUCUUUGUUUUGGAACAAACGUUUCAACCGUAGUAUUAUAGGAGCAUAACACAUCACCUUGGAAGGAAUCUUCUUCCUGAGGUACUCGCCCUCGACAUCACCAGUGUCAUCGCGACUUAUCUUAUAACACAAUGCACUGCAUACCGGGCAAGCAUUCAAAUCCUCGUACUCACCGCAGUAGAGGAUGCAGUCAUUAGGGCAUGCAUGUAUCUUCUGCACCUCUAACCCUAGAGGGCAGACAACCUUCUUUGCUUCACACGUACUCUCGGUCAAUUCGUUGUCCUUUGGAAGCAUAUUCUUCAUCAUUGCCAGCAACUUCCCAAAUCCCUUGUCAGAUACACCAUUCUCUGCCUUCCAUUGCAGCAAUUCCAGUGUGGUGCCCAACUUUUUUUUUGUCAGCUUUGCCAUUCAGGUACAACAAUUUCUUGUGAUACUCUAACAUGCGCUGCAACUUCUUCUUCUUCAAAUCACUUGCGCAGUUUCUCUUUGCAUCGGCAAUGGCCCGACCUAGAUCAUCAACGGGCUCAUCUAAUGCCUCUUCUUCAGCUUCUUCCCGCAUUGCCGGCUCAGCUUCUUCCCCCAUUGUUGUAUCAUCGUAUUCAGGGAGCCCAUGGCCAGGAUAGCUGUCGUCGUCCUCUUAUUCUUCAUUUGCUUCCAUCAUAACCCCUCUUUCUCCGUGCUUGGUCCAAACAUUAUAGUGGGGCAUGAAACCGGACUCAAAUAGGUGGACGUGAAUGGUUCUUGACGUUGAGUAAUUGUGACCAUUCUUACAGCCAGCACAUGGACAAGGCAUAAAACCAUCCGCCCGCUUGUUUGCCUCUGCGGCAAGUAGAAAAGUGUGCACGCCAUUAAUGUACUCAGGAGAGCAUCGGUCAUCAUACAUCCAUUGUCGGCUCAUCUUCAUUACACAACACCGAAUAGACCAAAUUAAUACAAGUUCAUACAUAAAGUUCAUAUACAACACUUAAUUAAAUGUAACAUACAAAUAACUCUCUAGCUAAAGAAUAUAAAUGCAACAACAAAUGCGAUCAAGAUCGCAACUAAGGUAACAAUUGAUCCAACAGUAUAAUGAUACCAAGCCACACUAUCAAUGGCAUAUAUUCUAAUCUUUCUAAUCUUCAAGAGCAUUUUCCAAUUCCAUCUUCUCCCCCUCAAUUCUUUUCAAUUUUUCUUUCAAAUACUCAUUUUCUCUUUCAACUAAAUUUAACCUCUAGACAAUAGGGUCGGUUGGAAUUUCCGGUUCACAUACCUCCUUGAUAAAAAUAUCAAUGUCAACUUGAUGGUCAUAAUUUGUCAUAAAGAUGAAAUGCAACAACUAGUUUUAAAAGAGAAUAUACCACAUCCGGAUCAUAACAAGGACGAGGGCCGACGGGGACGGAUAUCAAAACCAUGUCACUAUGUAUAACAAACAACGUACGGGUAAGAUAAUUAUACGAGUAACUAUAUAUCCAAAUCACACAAACAUCAAUUUGGUAAUGUAAAACAUUCAUGAACAAGAGCCUCACCACAAGGUGCUGCCGGCGACGGGACGGUGCGGGCGAUCGAAGGUGGUUACGACGGAGAUUUAGAAGCCUAUAAACCACACUCACAUAUGCAAACUAAGUGUUAUUUUUGACCUCAAAUUGCAUAUAAAUCAAAUACUAGCACAUAUAAUUCCUCCCAAAUUACUAAAUGCACAAAUUAAUCACUAUACAAAGCAUUGCAUGAGCUAAUCUAGCAAUGAGAGAUGAAAGGGCAAAGUUGCUAACCUUUGUGAUCAUUUGAAUGGAUGGGGGCCUUCAAAUCUUGACAAAUUUUGGGCAAAAUGUGUGAUGAGCUCGAGGAAGAGAGGGGAAGAACAGAGGAGGGGAGGAAGAACAGAGCGAGCUCGGGUGGACGAAGGGUUUGUGUAGGAUGACCUUUAGUACCGGUUCGUGCCACGAACUGGUACUAAAGGUGCUAGAGGGGCCCCAGACUGACAACAUCAUGCCACCACUCUCUUUAGUACCGGUUCGUGGCACGAACCAGUGCUAAAGGUUCGCCAUGAACCAGUACUAAUGAGAGUGGCUGGCUAGCCGUUGGAACCGGCACUAAUGGACACAUUAGUGCCGGCUCAAAUUCAAACAGACACUAAUGUGCUUCACAUUUGACCCUUUUUCUACUAGUGGGCGCGAGUGCUUCUGUUCAUGGUAUUGGCACGGUCGAUCUGAAGUUUACUUCGGAAAGGAUCGUGCAACUGAAGAACGUGCAGCAUGUCCCCGCCAUCAAGAAGAAUCUGGUUAGUGGUUCCCUUCUAUGUAGAGAAGGGUUUAAAUUGGUAUUCGAGUCUAAUAAAGUAGUUGUUACGAAAUAUGGAUUGUUUUUUGGAAAAGGUUAUGAAUGCGGAGGUCUGUUCCACUUUUCCCUCGCUGAUUUUUGUAAUAAAGUCGUGAACAAUAUUCAUUCGAGUGUUAAUGAAACAGAAGUUUGGCAUUCAUGUCUUUGUCACAUUGGUUUUGGUAGUAUGACGCGGUUGGCAAAAUUGAAUUUAAUCCCAAGUUUCACUUUAGCCGAAGGUUCUAAGUGCCAUUCGUGUGUGCAAGCGAAGCAACCUCGCAAGCCCCAUAAGGCUGCGGAGGAGAAACAUUUGGCACUGUUAGAACUCAUACAUUCUGAUCUUUGUGAGAUGACUGGUGUAUUGACUAAAGGUGGAAAAAGAUACUUCAUGACACUGAUAGAUGAUUCUACUAGAUAUUGCUAUGUAUAUAUUUUAAACACUAAAGAUGAGGCUCUACACUACUUUAAAAUCUAUAAGACAGAAGUUGAGAAUCAACUUGAAAAGAAAAUAAAACGAGUUUAGUCAGAUCGUGGUGGAGAGUAUUUCUCUAAUGAGUUUGAUUCUUUCUGUGUGGAACACGGAAUUAUUCAUGAGAGGACGCGAGUCCCUAUUCACCUCAGACAAAUGGGGUUGCCGAACGGAAAAACCGUACUCUAACAGAUUUGGUUAAUGCCAUGUAUACAUCGGGUUUAUCCAAGGCAUGGUGGGGGGAGGCUAUAUUGACAUCAUGUCAUGUCCUGAAUAAAGUUCCGACAAAAGACAAUGAGAUCACUCCCUAUGAACAAUGGGAAAAGAGAAGAACGACACUCUCAUACUUACGUACUUGGGGCUGCUUGGCGAAAGUCAAUGUGCCAAUCCCCAAAAAGCGUAAGCUUGGACCAAAGACCGUGGACUGCGUUAAUUUGGGCUACGCUAAGAAUAGUGUCGGCUAUAGAUUUCUGGUAGUGAAACCUGAGGUACCUGACGUGAAGGUCGGUACGAUUAUGGAGUCUAAAGAUGCUACAUUCUUUGAGGAUAGUUUUCCUAUGAGAGAUAUGCAAAGCACUUCUAGGCUGGAAUCUGAUGAGACUCCUGAACCUGCCAUUCCGAUGGGAUAUUAUGAACAGACACAUGAUGGAAGUAAUGAGGAGGAUGACAAGGAAACCCUUGGUAGGGGCAAGAGACAUUGGACUACAAACUCUUUUGGUGAUGAUUUUCGUGUAUACCUUGUGGAUGAUACUCCCACUUCUAUUUCAGAAGCUUAUGCCUCUCCGGAUGCUGACUACUGGAAAGAAGCGGUCCGUAGUGAGAUGGACUCCAUCAUGGCUAACGGGACAUGGGAAAUUAUUGAACGCCCCUAUGGCUGUAAACCAUUGGGUUGUAAAUGGGUGUUCAAAAAGAAGCUUAGGCCCGAUGGUACGAUUGAAAAGUACAAGGGUAGGCUUGUGGCCAAGGGCUAUGAUCAAAAAGAAGAGGAAGAUUUCUUCGAUACUUAUUCACCUGUGGCCAGAUUGACUACCAUUCGAGUAAUACUCUCUUUGGCGGCCUCGCAUGGUCUUCUCGUCCACCAGAUGGAUGUUAAGACAACUUUUCUGAAUGGAGCUCAACAAGGAAAUCUACAUGCAACAGCCAGAUGGCUUUGUGAUAGAUGGUCAGGAAGGAAAAGUGUGUACGUUGCUAAAAUCUUUGUAUGGCCUGAAACAAGCACCUAAGCAAUGGCAUAAUAAGUUUAAUACAACUCUGACAUCUGUUGGUUUCGUUGUUAAUGAAGCUGACAAAUGUGUAUACUAUCGUCAUGGUGGGGGCGAAGGAGUUAUACUAUGCUUGUAUGUUGAUGACAUACUGUUAUUCGGAACCAACCUCAAAGUCAUUGAGGAGGUCAAGUUGUUUCUAUCUCAGAACUUUAAGAUGAAAGACCUUGGUGUGGCUGAUGUUAUCUUGAACAUCAAGCUACUGAGAGAUAAUGAGGGUGAGAUUACACUUCUGCAAUCCCAUUAUGUUGAGAAGGUGUUGAGUCGUUUUGGAUAUGCGGAUUGCACGCCAUCUCAAACACCAUAUGAUCCUAGCGUAUUGAUUCGAAAGUCCAAAGGCACAGCUAUAGAUCAAUUAAGAUACUCUCAAAUCAUUGGUUCACUUAUGUACCUAGCGAGUGCUACGAGGCCUGACAUCGCCUUUGCUAUGAGCAAACUGAGUCGGUUUGUUUCAAAACCGGGUGAUGUGCAUUGGCGUGCUGUUGAAAGAGUUAUGCGCUAUCUGAAGGGUACUAUUGUCACACCCUAGCUAGUUCAUGCAUUAGAGUGUUGCAUCAUGUCUAUUCCUUUUAACAGAAACUUGAAAUGGGGAUGACAGAACCCCCAGCCCCCUCUGAACCCAACUAGGGUUUACUAAAAAUAUUUUCAAUGAACCUGAAAUGCCCUUCUAAAAUGUCCAUCAUUUUUGUCUUGGCUCAGAACCUCUGCCAAAAGUGGUGCACAAUUUUCUAGGUCAUCCUAAGGUCUUUGAAUUAAAUCAUAAGUAUUUGAUUUGGACAUUUAAAAUCUAUAAAAUAUUUUAAGUGUCCAAAUAAUCCUAAACUAAAAUGUUCCUUGUUGUUUAUAUUCUAAAUAGUGGGCAUGAGUAGUUUGGGGAUUUUUGGAGUUGCUUAGGUAUUUUUAGAAAGUCCAUAGAGUUAUAGAAGUAAUAGAAAACAUAAAUAAAAAAAGAGAGAGAAGGAACUAACCUGGCAGCCCACCUGGCAAGCCCACCUGCCGGCCCAGCCCAGCCACCGCUCCAGCGAGCUGCUUGGCUCGGCCAGGCAGGCAGCCAGGUGCUCGACGUCGGCACCAGAGCGUGCCACGCAGCUGCCCGCCGCUCUGCUUCCUCCCCUCACCGUUCUGCCGCCCUGGGUCGAUCACCCACUCCUCCCACGAGCUCACAGACACACCUUCUCCUCCCCAUCUCCUCUCCUCGCUCUCCCGCACCAUGGCCGACGCCAUCGUAGCCGCACCGUCGCCGUAGUCGCGCUCUCCGUCGUCCCUGCGCCGCGCCACCGUGUCCAGGAGCUCCGCCGCCCUCCGGUCCUUCGAGCAAGCCGAGCCCCGAGCGCUCGCUUGCCCCGAAGCCACUGCACCGACCUCGUCUGACCCCGCCACCGUCGGAGAUCCCUUUCGCCGUCGCGCUGCACCAGCUCGUCCCCGACCGCGCCGUCUGCUUCCUCGAGACUGCCGUGAGCCUAGCUACCUCCUCCCCCUUUCAUUUCUCGCUCUCGUGCACCACAGCGAGCACACGAAGCUUCAGCGCACGCGCCGCCGCCGAGCUCGUCGCCGACGUGUCUCCGGCCAACCACCGGCCACCCCACCAUGUCCAACACAUUCAUUGCAUCCCCAGGAGCCCAACGCACAUCACCACGAGCCUCAUCGUGUCCCGUAGCCUCGGGUUCGUCUUCACCCGACUCCGGCGACCGCCAAGGUCGUCGCCGGCGAUGUUUCCGGCCACCCCGAGCUCAACCACCACCACCAAGAGCUGCGGCUUGCUCCCAGCUACACGUAGAUGCCCUCUGCCGCUCAUUUGGUCGCCGGAACACACAAACGCACUUCCACCGCCGCGUCUGGCCUCGCCGGUGGCUAAACGCCGACGGGUUUGACCCCGUUGACUUGACUGGGUGGGCCCAGGUUGACUCCCCUGAGUCUACGACAAGUGGCCCCCCUACUAAUUAACCCAGAUUAGUUUUAACUAAAUUUAGUUAGUUAAAUAACUACUGACAUGCGAGACCCACUGGUCAGUUUGACCUGGACCAGCUUCGUUGACCACUGACGUCAUCCUGACGCAGUAAGUUAUUUACUGGAAUUAUUUUUACACAGGAAAUUCCAGAAAAUACCACAAACUUCAAAAAAUCAUAGAAAUUAAUCUGUAGCUCCAAAUGCAAAGUGUUAUAUAUGAAAAAUGAUCAGAAAAGUCCAAUCUAUCAAUCUGUACUGGUUUCAUGCAUGUUUAAAUAAGUUAACCUGCUGUUUAGUACAGAACUAGAUAAAGCACUUAAAAGGGCCACUUAUGAGUUUGAAACUUGAAUCUCUGGUUCAAAAUAGUUCAAACCCAUCUAGUCUUAGUUGCAUUAGCCCAAUACACUCAUUUUGCCAUGUCUCAUGCAUGCAUCAUAUUGUUGCAUAUUGUUUGGUGAUGAUUGUGAAUCGAUGCUCUCUGCGGCAGGUCCUGCCCCUGAGGAGUACCGUGAUUACCCCAACGAAGAACAAUACCAGUGCACCGACCCAUCAGGAAAGCAACCAACCAUUUGAUCAUAUCGAUACAAUCCCAUGUUCUCGCUUCUGCUCUCUUUUACUGCAUUAAGACAACACGAUUCAAACUGCUGUGUGCUAUGAUAGUUGAACCCAUUUCCUCUGCAUGACCUGUCAUUGUCGUAGUACCUAGAUGAAACCCACUAGCAUGUGUAGGAGUUGAUUGAGCCAUGUGUAUGUGUUGUUCCUACCUUGCUAUGCCUGCUAUGCUUAGAGUCGUGUCAGGUCUGGUUCAUCUGGGUGAUGGCUAGAGUGAAAUGAUCAUGCCGGUAAUGAGAGUGAUGUGUUGAACAUGAUUUGGUAAAGGUAUCGAUGAGAGGCCAUGUAGGAGUACAUGGUGGGUUGUUUCAUUGAGGCCGACCUUAAGCACUGAGAUCUAUAUGUGUGAUUUAAGAUUCAGCUACUACCAUGCAUUGGGCCCUGAAAUAUGACCCCGCUCGACUUCUUAUCCACCCUAGUCCUCUGUCCAGGAGUUGCAAGUAGUUUCUGGUGUUUGUAGCCUACUAGAGGCCGUGGACAGCGCUGACCCGCGGGGUGGGCUGUGAUGCGGUAGGUACGUGGCACGGUGUACCGGAUGCCCGUUAGGUAUCUCGGGAACCCUGCACACAUCAUUCGGGGCCGUAUGUGGAAACCUCGGCCGGACUCCCUGUGGAUGGAACCUGAAUAGGCGCUAAACCUGGACUAGAGACUUAGGUGUUUAGGUAGGUCGUGGUCUACACCCUCGUCGGCUUUCGCUUGAAGUCUGCCGAGCACAUGUCGUGUGCAGACGCUAAGUGGUGGAAACAUGUAUGAAGAAGUACACCCAUGUAGGGUUAACAUUAUCUAUUCGAAUAGCCGCGUCCGCGAUAAAGGACUACUUGGUUGCCUAUACAGUUCAUAGACAAGUAAAUGGAAACUACUAAAAGCCUCAAGAUAAGCAUGAGUGCCGAGGAUGGCUCUUCCGUGGGAAGACGGAGGUGGAUCCUCGGUAGUGUAUUGAAGUGGUGAGUAGUGGACUCGUGUGCGCAAAACCAUUUCAAGUUGGAGUCUCGUAGGAUAGCUUAGCCAAGAGUCAAAGCUGGCUUGUUGCAAUAACCCCACCAACCCUUCUUGAUAAUGUGCAUGUAUGUAGGAUCUGAUGUAAGUCUUGCUGAGUACCUUUGUACUCAUGUUGCUUUAAUUUACAUCUUACAGAAGACGCUACAACCCCUUCUGAUGGGUUCUUCGUAGACGUUGACAUCGAUGAGUAGACUGAGGCCCAGGUGGUGAUCCUGAGCUUGUGAAGGACCAUGUAGUAUAGCUAGGCUUCCCCAAGCCUCUUUUAUUUUACUAGUUGUCUGUACUCAGACAAGUUACUUCCGCUAUUGGCUUGUAUGCUUGUAUGACUUGAAUGUGGGUUGUGUGACCCGUACUUGUGUGUAUGCUAUGUAUGGCUCUCUGAGCCUUUAAAUAAAGUACUUGUGUUGUAGAGUCAUGUUGUGAUGCCUUGUUGUAUUUGCACAUAUUGAGCAUAUUGUGUGUAUGAUUGAAAUGCUUGGUAUGUGUGGGAUUUGACUAUCUAGUUGUUUAUCUUUAGUAGCCUCUCUUACCGGGAAAUGUCUCCUAGUGCUUCCACUGAGCCAUGGUAGCUUGCUACUGCUCCGGAACACUUAGGCUGGCCGGCAUGUGUCCUUAUUUGUUCCUGUGUCUGUCCCUUCCGGGAAAUGUCACGCAAUGAAUACCGGAGUCCUGUUAGCCCGCUGCAGUCCGGUUUACCGGAGUCCUGCUAGCCCAGUGCUACAGCCCGGAUUCACUUGCUGAUGACCGACACGUUCGAUGCUGGGUCAUGGAUGCCUGUCCUUGUAAGUCUGUGCCACUUUGGGUUUACGACUAGCCAUGUCAGCCCGGGCUCCUUACCAUAUGGAUGCUAGCGACACUAUCAUAUACGUGUGCCAAAAGGCGCAAACGGUCCCGGGCAAAGGUAAGGCGACACCCAUGGGAAUACCGUGCGUGAGGCCGCAAAGUGAUAUGAGGUGUUACAUGCUAGAUCGAUGUGGCAUUGAGUCGGGGUCCUGACAGCGUUGGUAUCAGAGCCGGACUGCCUGUAGGUUCUCCAAGCCAAACUGGUCGAUGUUGAGUCUAGAAAUGCUUUAGUUAUAUGUAGGGGAAUUGAUUGUGGGAUGAUACGUAAGGCUCUUUUUACUCCUUUACCUCAUGGCAUUCUGAUCUGAGUCAGUCCAUUCUUCCACCGGGAGUUAAGGACUAGGAUCUCUUCUCUCUAUCAGGUUCACGUGUUACUAAUCAGUAGUACCUUAUAGGUUUGAUGAUUAUAAGCCUAGUUCAGUUCUACUGCCCUGUUAUGUUGCUAAGUUGGACCAGAACCUUGAUAUGAUAUUGUUGAGUGUCUAUGCAACUCUUUGCAAAAUGUCUCAAAAUUCUUUUGAGCAUUUACAGCAGUUAUGCUGUCCAAAUUCUGCUAGAAAUUCUAAUGCUUUUGCAUUAUGGUUGUGCUUUCAAAUGGCCACUCGUGCUCAAAACCAAGUGGUUCGCCUGACCCGGUGCCUCGAUGUUCCCGGUCAUACGACUAUGUUAGUCCGGGUAAUGAUCGAGACGGGUUACCGUUGGUAUCCCGAAUACACCGUCGAAGAGCAGUUCCGAGACUUUAAUCAAAGCCAAUAUCUCUGCACUGUCAGGAUAUUUCCCUCUUAUCCUGGAUCUACCGAGCCCCUCCACUGUUCCUAUGGACUUGGGGUUACUAUUGAGAUGGUUGUGCAGGAUGCUGCCUAUUCUAUGAUGACCAUCAUGCGAGUCAGGACUGGCCUGCUUCGGAACACCGACUUCUGUUAUAUGCCUGCUUCACUCCCGGGAGCGCAAGGGUAUCUCCAGGCUAUCUAUGCUGACUCCACACAUGAGAACUCAUUAACUCGCACCACUGCCGAGAUGCUCGAGGAUAAGGACCGAGAGAAUCGGGCCUUGAGACUGGAGCUAUUCAACACCCGUGCCGAUCAUUGGGCCACCUUGACUCGAUUUGCACCGGAUGUGCAAGCUGGAUAUAUGGAUAUGAGAGAUCUGUAUCCUGUUAGAUCUGCUCUGCCAGACAUGAUGGAUUGGCGUGAUGUGGGAGGCAUCACCCCACCUUGUGGUCCCCGCAGGCCACCAUUUGUUGGUCCAAGACCCCAUCCUAGCCCCUAUGGUCCGCAAGCUCCUCGGGGCCAUCUGUUUCGGGAUGCUCACGUUGAACUUCCAGGCUAUGGUGGAGACUUCUAUGAGGACUAUUACGGAGAUGUCUGAGCUAGUAGUAGUUUCACUAGUAUUGUAAUAGUUGUAUUUCCAUCGUCCCGCGUGACCUGUGGAAUAUGACUUAGUGUGUAUCAAUUCCGGAGGUGUAGAAAAAAAUAAUGUAUAGGAGCUUGGAAUGCCUCCGAUGAGAUGUAAUCUUCCUUUCACCGUAGUAGUACUUUGUUUGGUUUUGUACUAAACCUUGUAUGGUGUAUAUUACGAUGGAAUAAAAGAAGCAGUUUCUGUAUCUACCAUGUCAUACGGAUGAUCAUCUUAUAUUCCGAGUUAUCCAUUACAUUCUACAUUUCUAUGUAAGAAUCUUAUCAUCCUGGACUAAACCAUUGUCUAGUUUCCCUAGGAUGGUCAACACCCGCAACAACCCUGCUCCCCCAGAGCAGGCCGAAGGCAGCAGAGUUGGGGAAACAAACCUGCCUCACCCUCCUUCUCUGGCCGAGGUUAUGCUGGAGGCUGAAAGAAAUAAGCGGGAGACCAACCGUUUGUUGGAGCGCAUCGAACAGAACACAGCACACCAUCAGAGGAAUAACUUGGUGUCGCUCGGCGAUUUCAUCAAGUUACACCCACCCAACUUCCACCACUCCGUCGAGCCUCUCGACGCCGAUGACUGGCUUCGCGGCAUUACUCACAAACUAUGUUCUGCACUCGUAGCUGAGGCUGAUAAGGUCACCUUUGCUGCAUAUCAUCUCGAAGGCCCUGCCAGUCUCUGGUGGGAGAACUAUGAAGCUAUGCACCCAGCGGGCCAGGUCACUACUUGGGCUGAAUUCAGCGAGGCUUUCCGUGAACAUCACAUUCCGGAGGGUCUUAUGGACCGUAAACGUGAGGAGUUCUGUAGUUUCACUCAAGGUAGACUCUCUGUAGAUGCCUACAACAGGGAGUUCGGUAACCUUGCACGUUAUGCAACUAAGGAAGUUUCCACCGAUGCCAAGAAGCAGGCAAGGUUCCGCAAGGGACUUAGCCCUGAGCUUCGCCAUGACCUCCGUCUGCAUUAGUGCACAUCUUUUCAGAAGCUUGUAAACAAGGCCAUCAGUGCUGAGUCUGGUCAGACUGAUUACGAAGCAACACGCAACCAUGGCCAUGACUUGGGUUCCUCAUCCGGUGCUGGACCACAGAAGCGCCGGGUGUGGGUGCCUAACACUGCCCUGCCCCCCAGGUUCACACCAAGGCCAUCCUAUCAGGCGCCUCGCCCAGCUCAACAGUAUGCACCAGCCAAGCCCAAUGGUGGUCCAACCAACAAUGCUCCUCCACGCACCAGUUCCGUGACGUGCUUCAAGUGUGGGGAAUCAGGCCACUAUAUGCGCGAGUGUCCCCAGACCAACCCCAGCCAGUCUGCAAAAGUUGUUGGCCGUGGCAAGCUGACAGGGAAAGUGUUCUAUGCCAAGCCGGCCACCACUGCGCGUGGCCAUGUGAAUUAUGUCUCUGCGGAAGAGGCUCGGGAGGAUCCCAACGUCGUUCUCGGUACGCUCCUUGUUAACUGCCACCCGGCAUCUGUUCUUUUCGAUACUGGAGCAUCUCAUUCAUUUAUAUCCAAGAGCUAUGCUCGUCUGCACAACACCACUUUCUGUGAGAUUCCCACCUCCAUGGUAAUUCAAACCCCGGGAUCCAAAUGGCAAACUUCUAGAGUAAGCCAUGGGAAUGAAAUUCAAGUCGACAGACUUGUUUUUCUCGCGUCAUUGAUAGCUCUCAAAUCUUCGGAUAUUAAUAUCAUCUUGGGUAUGGACUGGAUGUCAGCCCAUCAUGCCAAGAUUGAUUGCUUCUCUAGGACUGUCCAACUCACACACCCUUCGGGAAAGAUAGUCAAUGUCUUGACCCGAGUAGCCAAGCGGUAGCUAUAAUCCCUUAAUGCCAGUCCUUUACCAGACCUCGAAGAUGUUCCGGUAGUCCGUGACUUCCCGGAUGUAUUUCCAGAAGAAUUGCCAGGUGUCCCACCUGACAGAGAUGUCGAGUUCAUGAUAGAUCUCAUUCCAGGAACUGUCCCAAUUUCUAGAAGACCCUAUAAGAUGACACCACUAGAACUAGCCGAACUUAAGAAACAACUCGAUGAGUCCUUGAAAAAGGGUUUCAUCCGACCUAGUUCAUCUCCAUGGGCUUGCCCCGUCCUCUUCGUCAAGAAGAAGGAUGGUACGGACCAGAUGGUUGUAGAUUAUCGACCCGUCAACUUGGUCACAAUUAAGAACAAGUAUCCGCUCCCCAGGAUCAACGACCUGUAUGAUCAGCUCGCUGGAUCCUCAGUCUUCUCCAAGAUGGAUUUGAGGUUAGGCUACCAGCAAAUCAAAAUCAGGAACGGGGACAUUCCUAAAACGGCCUUUGUUACUCAUUAUGGCCAAUAAGAGUACACCGUCAUGUCCUUCGAAUUAACCAAUGCUCCAUCCACCUUCUCUCGGUUAAUGAACUCAAUCUUCAUGGAGUAUUUGGAUAAAUUCGUCGUGGUUUACCUCGAUGAUAUACUCAUCUACUCCAAGAACGAGGAAGAACAUGCCGAUCAUCUAAGACUAGUGUUGAUGAAACUUCAAGAGCAUCGCCUUUAUGCCAAGUUCUCUAAAUGCAAAUUUUGGUUGCCAGAAGUGACCUAUCUAGGACAUGUAAUUUCUGGUAAAGUUAUUGUUGUCAAUCCCGAGCAAGUUCAAGCCGUCCUUAAUUGGACUCCACCUGAAUCUUAAGCAAGUUCGGAGUUUCCUUGGCUUAGUGAGCUAUUGUCGUCGCUUUGUCGAGAAUUUCUCCAAAGUUGCUAAACCUCUAACUGAACUCCUCAAGAAAGAUAAAAAGUUCGAGUGGACUCCACAAUGUGAGCACAGUUUUCAGGAACUGAAAAGAUGCCUGACUUCUGCCCCCGUACUGGUACCACCAGACUUCUCCAAGGACUUUGUUAUCUAUUGCGACGCCUCGCGACAAGGACUAGGUUGCAUUCUCAUGCAAGAUCGACACUUAAUUGCUUAUGCUUCACGGCAAUUGCACCCACAUGAGGAAAACUACCCUACUCAUGAUCUAGAGCUUGCAGCUGUAGUCCAUGCACUCAAAACCUGGCGACAUUACCUCCUCGGUAAUCGUUGCGAAAUCUUCACCGAUCACCAAAGUCUGAAGUACAUAUUCACCCAACCGGAUUUGAAUCUCAGGCAAAGAAGUUGGGUCGAGUUGAUCACAGAUUUCGACUUAGGGAUAACUUACACCCCAGGAAAAGCCAAUGUCAUGGCUGAUGCACUAAGUCGUAAAUCUUAUUGUAACAAUUUGAUGUUACAACAAAGUCAACCGCAUCUCCAUGAGGAAUUUCGGAAGGUUAACCUUCACAUCGUUCCUCAAGGAUUCCUUUCCAUCUUGGUGACGAAACCUACUCUUACGGAUCAAAUCAUCGCUGCCCAAAAACGAGAUAAAGGAAUAUCUCGGAUCAAGGAGAACAUUGCUAGUGGAGAUGCUAAAUGUUUCUCUACAAAUGAUCAUGGUGUCGUGUACUUUGAGGACCGUCUAGUGGUUCCCAAGAACCGACAUCUACGGCAGUUGAUCCUUAAGGAAGCUCAUGAAUCUCCUCUCACCAUUCAUCCCGGUACCACUAAGAUGUAUCAGGACCUACGCCAGAGGUUCUGGGGGACUAGGAUGAAGAGAGACAUUGCUCAGUUUGUUGCUAAUUGCGACGUCUGUCGUCGUGUAAAAGCAGAGCAUCAACGGCCUGCUGGCACCCUUGAACCCUUAGCUAUUCCUGAAUGGAAAUGGGACAAAAUUGGUAUGGACUUCAUCACCGGUUUUCCCAGGACCAAGAGAGGGAAUAAUGCUAUCUUCGUUGUUAUCGAUCGUCUUUCUAAAGUGGCCCAUUUCUUGCCUGUUCGCGAGAGUAUAACCGCUAGUCAGUUAGCAGACUUGUAUAUCUCCCAAAUAGUGUCCCUUCAUGGUGUUCCACUGGAAAUUAACUCGGAUCGAGGAAGUCUCUUCACCUCUCGAUUUUGGGAAAGUUUCCAAAAUGCUAUGGGAACCCGCCUUUCCUUUAGCACUGCUUUUCACCCUCAAUCAAGUGGUCAAGUAGAACGCGUCAACCAGAUUCUAGAAGACAUGCUUCGAGCUUCUAUUAUCUCAUUCGGAAUGGGUUGGGAGAAAUGCCUUCCAUUUGCCGAAUUUGCUUAUAACAACAACUAUCAAUCUAGCUUGGGUAAAGCCCCUUUUGAAGUUCUGUAUGGACGAAGGUGUCGAACGCCUCUUAACAGGUCAGAAACCGGGGAAAGACAAUUCUUUGGCCCGGAUAUGAUCCAGGAAGCAGAAGAGCAAGUUCGCAUCAUUCGUGAAAAGUUGAAAACAGCCCAAUCUCGUCAAAAGAGUCAAUAUGACCAAAAACAUAGGGCUAUGACUUUUGAGGUUGACGAGAAGGCUUACCUUCGGGUUACUCCUCUGAAGGGAACCCAUCGUUUCGGUAUCAAAGGCAAAUUGGCUCCUCGCUACAUUGGACCCUUUCGCAUUCUCGCUAAACGAGGAGAAGUUGCCUACCAAUUGGAACUACCUCCGCAUCUCUCCAGAGUCCACGAUGUCUUCCACGUUUCUCAACUCAGGCGUUGCUUCUCGGAUCCUAUCCGUGGAGUGGACCACGAAACGCUUGAUCUUCAAGAUAAUCUCACGUAUCGAGAGUACCCCAUUCGUAUCCUCGAUCAAGCCGAGCGUACCACUCGACGUCAUAAUAUCAAGUUUCUCAAGGUUCAAUGGUCGCACCAUUUGGAGAAGGAAGCAACUUGGGAAAGGGAGGAUCGUCUUCGACUUGAGUAUCCCGCCUUCUUCCCGGAGGAACCUAAAUCUCGGGACAAGAUUCUUUUGAGUGGGGGUGAGUUGUCACACCCUAGCUAGUUCAUGCAUUAGAGUGUUGCAUCAUGUCUAUUCCUUUUAACAGAAACUUGAAAUGGGGAUGACAGAACCCCCAGCCCCCUCUGAACCCAACUAGGGUUUACUAAAAAUAUUUUCAAUGAACCCGAAAUGCCCUUCUAAAAUGUCCAUCAUUUUUGUCUUGGCUCAGAACCUCUGCCAAAAGUGGUGCACAAUUUUCUAGGUCAUCCUAAGGUCUUUGAAUUAAAUCAUAAGUAUUUGAAUUUGGACAUUUAAAAUCUAUAAAAUAUUUUAAGUGUCCAAAUAAUCCUAAACUAAAAUGUUCCUUGUUGUUUAUAUUCUAAACAGUGGGCAUGAGAAGUUUGGGGAUUUUUGGAGUUGCUUAGGUAUUUUUAGAAAGUCCACAAAGUUACAGAAGUAAUAGAAAACAUAAAUAAAAAAAGAGAGAGAGGGAACUAACCUGGCAGCCCACCUGGCAAGCCCACCUACCGGCCCAGCCCAGCCACCACUCCAGCGAGCUGCUUGGCUCGGCCAGGCAGGCAGCCAGGUGCUCGACAUCGGCACCAGAGCAUGCCACGCAGCUGCCCGCCGCUCUGCUUCCUCCCCUCGCCGUUCUACCACCCUGAGUCGAUCACCCACUCCUCCCCCGAGCUCACAGACACGCCCUCUCCUCCCCAGCUCCUCUCCCUCGCUCUCCCGCACCAUGGCCAACGCCGCCGUAGCCGCACCGUCGCCGUAGUCGCGCUCUCCGUCGUCCCUGCGCCGCGCCACCGUGUCUAGGAGUUCCGCCGCCCUCCGCUCCUUUGAGCAAGCCGAGCCCUGAGCGCUCGCGUGCCCCGAAGCCACCGCCGGAGAUCCCUCUCGCCGUCGCCGCCGCACCAGCUCGUCCCCAACCGUGCCGUCUGCUUCCUUGAGACCGAUGUGAGCCUAGCUACCUCCUCCCCCUUUCUUUUCUCGCUCUCGUGCACCACAGCGAGCACACGAAGCUUCACCGCACGCACCGCCGCCGAGCUCAUCACCGACGUGUCUCCGGCCAACCACCGGCCACCCCACCAUGUCCAACACAUUCACUACAUCCCUAGGAGCCCAACGCACCUCACCAUGAGCCUCGACAUGUCCCGUAGCCUCGGGUUCGUCUUCACCUGACUCCGGCGACCGCCAAGGUCGUCGCGGGCGAUGUUUCGGCCACCCCGAGCUCAACCACCACCACCAAGAGUUGCGGCUUGCUCCGAGCUACACGUAGAUGCCCUCCGCCGCUCAUUUGGUCGACGGAACGCACAAACGCACUUCCACCGCCGCGUCUGGCCUCGCCGGCGGCUAAACGCCGGCGGGUUUGACCCCGUUGACUUGACUGGGUGGGCCCAGGUUGACUCCCCUGAGUCUAUGACAAUUGCCCCCCCUGCUAAUUAACCCAGAUUAGUUUUAACUAAAUUUAGUUAGUUAAAUAACUACUGACAUGCGGGACCCACUGGUCAGUUUGACCUGGACCAGCUCCGUUGACCACUGACAUCAUCCUGACGCAGUAAGUUAUUUACUGGAAUUAUUUUUACACAGGAAAUUCCAGAAAAUACCACAAACUUCAAAAAUCAUAGAAAUUAAUCUGUAGCUCCAAAUGCAAAGUGUUAUAUAUGAAAAAUGAUCAGAAAAAUCCAAUCUAUCCAUCUGUACUGGUUUCAUGCAUGUUUAAACAAGUUAACCUGCUGUUUAGUACAGAACUAGAUAAAGCACUUAAAAGGGCCACUUAUGAGUUUGAAACUUGAAUCUCUGGUUCAAAAUAGUUCAAACCCAUCUGGUCUUAGUUGCAUUAGCCCAACACACUCAUUUUGCCAUGUCUCAUGCAUGCAUCAUAUUGUUGCAUAUUGUUUGGUGAUGAUUGUGUAUCGGUGCUCUCUGCGGCAGGUCCUGCCCCCGAGGAGUACCGUGAUUACCUCAACAAAGAACAAUACCAGUGCACCGACCCGUCAGGCAAGCAACCAACCAUUCGAUCAUAUCGAUACAAUCACAUGUUCUCGCUUCUGCUCUCUUUUACUGCAUUAAGACAACGCGAUUCAAACUGUUGUGUGCUACGAUAGUUGAACCCAUUUCCUCUGCAUGACCUGUCAUUGCCGUAGUAACUAGAUGAAACCCACUAGCAUGUGUAGGAGUUGAUUGAGCCAUGUGUAUGUGUUGUUCCUACCUUGCUAUGCCUGCUAUGCUUAGAGUCGUGUCAGUUCUGGUUCAUCUGGGUGAUGGCUAGAGUGAAAUGAUCAUGCCGGUAAUGAGAGUGAUGUGUUGAACAUGAUUUGGUAAAGGUAUCGAUGAGAGGCCAUGUAGGAGUACAUGGUGGGUUGUUUCAUUGAGGCCGACCUUAAGCACUGAGAUCUAUAUGUGUGAUUUAAGAUUCAGCUACUACCAUGCAUUGGGCCCUGAAAUAUGACCCCGCUCGACUUCUUAUCCACCCUAGUCCUCUGUCCAGGAGUUGCAAGUAGUUUCUGGUGUUUGUAGCCUACUGGAGGCCGUGGACAGCGCUGACCCGCGGGGUGGGCUGUGAUGUGGUAGGUACGUGGCAUGGUGUACCGGAUGCCCAUUAGGUAUCUCGGGAACCCUGCACACAUCGUUCGGGGCCGUAUGUGGAAACCUCGGCCGGACUCCCUGCGGAUGGAACCUGAAUAGGCGAUAAACCUGGACUAGAGACUUAGGUGUUUAGGUAGGUCGUGGUCUACACCCUCGUCGGCUUUCGCUUGAAGUCUGUCGAGCACAUGUCGUGUGCAGACGCUAAGUGGUGGAAACAUGUAUGAAGAAGUACACCCAUGUAGGGUUAACAUUAUCUAUUCGAAUAGCCGCGUCUGUGGUAAAGGACUACUUGGUUGCCUAUACAGUUCAUAGACAAGUAAAUGGAAACUACUAAAAGCUUCAAGAUAAGCGUGAGUGCCGAGGAUGGCUCUUCCAUGGGAAGACGGAGGUGGAUCCUCGGUAGUGUAUUGAAGUGUGAGUAGUGGACUCGUGUGCGCAAAACCAUUUCAAGUUGGAGUCUCGUAGGAUAGCUUAGCCAAGAGUCAAAGCUGGCUUGCUGCAAUAACCCCACCAACCCUUCUUGAUAAUGUGCAUGUAUGUAGGAUCUGAUGUAAGUCUUGCUGAGUACCUUUGUACUCAUGUUGCUUUAAUUUACAUUUUACAGAAGACGCUACAACCCCUUCUAACGGGUUCUUCGUAGACGUUGACAUCGAUGAGUAGACUGAGGCCCAGGUGGUGAUCCUGAGCUUGUUAAGGACCAUGUAGUAUAGCUAGGCUUACCCAAGCCUCUUUUAUUUUACUAGUUGUCUGUACUCAGACAAGUUACUUCCGCUGUUGGCUUGUAUGCUUGUAUGACUUGAAUUAGGUCGUGUGACCCGUACUUGUGUGUAUGCUAUGUAUGGCUCUCUGAGCCUUUAAAUAAAGUACUUGUGUUGUAGAGUCAUGUUGUGAUGCCUUGUUGUAUUUGCACAUAUCGAGCAUAUUGUGUGUAUGAUUGAAAUGCUUGGUAUGUGUGGGAUCUGACUAUCUAGUUGUUUAUCCUUAGUAGCCUCUCUUACCGGGAAAUGUCUCCUAGUGCUUGCACUGAGCCAUGGUAGCUUGCUACUGCUCCGGAACACUUAGGCUGGCUGGCAUGUGUCCUUCUUCGUUCCUGUGUCUGUCCCUUCGGGGAAAUGCCAUGCAAUGAAUACCAGAGUCCUGUUAGCCCGCUGCAGCCCGGUUUACCGGAGUCCUGCUAGCCCAGUGCUACAGCCCGGAUUCACUUGCUGAUGACCGACACGUUCGAUGCUGGGUCAUGGAUGCAUGUCCCUGUAAGUCUGUGCCACUUUGGGUUUACGACUAGCCAUGUCAGCUCGGGCUCCUUACCAUAUGGAUGCUAGCGACACUAUCAUAUACGUGUGCCAAAAGGCGCAAACGGUCCCGGGCAAAGGUAAGGCGACACCCGUGGGAAUACCGUGCGUGAGGCCGCAAAGUGAUAUGAGGUGUUACAUGCUAGAUCGAUGUGGCAUUGAGUCGGGGUCCUGACAACUAUGAACUAUGGACUUCACUAUUCCGGAUACCCGUCGGUACAUGAAGGGUAUAGUGACGCGAAUUGGAUCUCUGAUGCUGAUGAGAUGAAGGCCACAGCUGGGUAUAUGUUUACUAUUGAAGGUGACGUUGUUUCCUGGAAGUCUUGCAAGCAAACGAUCUUAACAAGAUCGAUAAUGGAAGCAGAAUUAACAGCAUUAGACACAUCUGGUGUCAAAACAUGAUGGCUUCGAGAUCUUUUGAUGGACUUACCAUUGGUUGAUAAACCGGUUCUGGCUAUCCUUAUGAACUGUGACAAUCAGACUGUCAUAACUAAGGUGAAGAGUUCAAAGGACAACAUGAAGUCCAACAAACACAUAAGAAUGAGACUAAAAGUUGUCAGAAAACUAAGAAACUCUGGAGUGAUAGCGUUGGAGUAUGUCCAACCGGCUAAGAAUCUGGCAGAUCCCUUUAGAAAAGGGCUAUCGCGUGUUGUGAUAGAUAAUGCAUCGAGGGAGAUGGGUAUGAGACCCACAUGAGUUGCCAUGGUGGUAACCCAACCUAUGUGAUCGGAGAUCCCGUGAAGUAGGACUUGGGAAAACAAGCUAGUGGUUAAUUGAGGAGAGUAUUUUCACUAACCCACUCCAUUGGAGAUGCACAACUCUCGGUAACUGUAUGGCAGGUUGACUUUUGUCUUAAUGUGUUUCAAGGCUUAUAAAAGCAAGAUGCUAUCCUACAUAGCGAUCUUUGGAGGAACACACCUAUAUGAGCCUGACUACUGGUCAUAGUCUAUGAGAUUAGAGUGAUCUCUAGUAAGUUCAUGAAAAUGCCAGGAGUGACCAAUAUGCUCCACCCGAGGGGUCAGCCUUCGGCAGCCUAGUAUUGGUAAGACACUUGGUGAAACUCCUUCACUCCAAAUUGACAAUUCAAGGCCUAGUCCAUUGUUCAGUUGUGAAGGAGUAUAGCUUUUUGUUCUAGGUGGAUGUUCAACCUUAACAGGUCUCCAUUGAAAAUACUGGUAUAUCAAAACAGAGUUUGGAACAGAGGGCAACACCAUGGGCCUUCAGGAUCUGGUGGGGGAUUGCUGAAUAUUAGUUGGGCUAAUGGCCCACUUAACAAUUUCGGGAAAAUCCCUAAGGGCCCAUGCUGUCAAGGGAGUGAUGGGAAAUUUAGUCCCACAUGGCUAGUUGAGAGAGAUGUACACCAACUUAUAAGAUGAGCUCUUCUCCCACUAGUAUGAGUUGGUGUGAAGGAAGGAGAGGUGUUCCACACGCGCGCUCCUCCUCCGCCGCCUGCCUCGCCACGCUUAGUCACGACGCGCGCGCGCGUCGCGGGUUGCGGGAAUGAGCUGAGCCGAUGCAAUGUUUUGCCGGUCAAAAUUGGAGAGUCCAUUACAGACACAAACAGAAUAUGAGACGUCAUAUUCAUUGCGGAAAUGGAAACGUCUAUAAUAAAUACGUUUAAUUGUGGAAAUGAAAACAUCUGUAAUUAAACGUGUUUUUAUGGAGAUGAAACAUUCUGUAAUUAAACGCUUUUAUUGCUGGACCGUUCUCCUACCCGACUGGCUAUAGGUAUGAGGCAUCGUAGCUCAGCCAAAAACACAACGCUUCACACCUCCACUGCUCCCUGGUCAUUCCUUUCACUGCUGCUGCCCUCUGUGAUCCCAUCCCGUCUACCGUGUACACAGCUGAUGGGAGAGUAGGCCUCCGAAACCCCGCUUCUCCUGAUCCUGUACGGGAGAGAGGCCAUUAGGUUUUUGGGGAGCGUCUCCUACGCGACUGCUCGCCUCUGUUCAACUACUUCAUCUACGUCGACUACUUCCGCAUCACCUUUGUCUUCACCAUGAGCACUAACGCCGAUCGCGCGGCUGCCGAGAAGGCCGCUGCUGACAAGAGGAUCGCCGACGAGGCUGACGCCUCCGCUGCUGCUACGGCCGACUGGCCUACUGGAGGGUAUAACACAUCUACCCCGCUCGUGUUUACUUUCAUAUGUUCAGUACUAGUAGUUUGCGUAGAUGUUUCUACUAUCGGCCAAGUACGUGCGUACAUUAUCAAAAUUCAGUAUGUCAUGAGCACUGCCUAUGUCAUGUUCAUGAUUUAUUAUUGGAUUAAAUUAAUCGAACAAUUGCUUAAUUUCUCAUCAAAAACAAAUGACUUCAUGUUACUACCUCUACAGCUCACUAAGUCCUUUAUAUCGUGAGCCUUCCCAAAGCAAAAGAUGAAUAGCUUAUCCCUUAUCUUAUUUCUCUCUAGUGGAAUUAUUCAUUCCUACUCCAUGCAUUGUUUGUUUCAUAUCUGCAUGAUAUGGACUGGAAUAUUGUAGGUGUAGGCAUAGGAGGCACCAGGAACUAUCGAUGAACAACGGAUAAUCCAAACAGGUGCGGGAGAGAGAAACAACGCGCACAUCUUCCUCCUACCCUACCGCAUCAGCUAUUUCCGGGUUGGUCACUGAGUGGUAAUAAGUGUACUGGCUAGAUGCACCUAGUUCAGCCUUUUGGUGACUUCCAGUCUAACCAAGGAUCUAAGCUAGUUUCGGUCAAGAGAUCUCCAUACUUCCGUGAUUCAUCGUACUGAUGAAAUUAGAGAUAUACCGACUUGGUGAAUGUUAAAUAUAGAUUUGGCAUGCAAUUACUUUGAAGGCUCAAGUCUCCCUUUAAAAUCAAUAUAUUUAUUUGGUAUCUGCGUCGAUGGGCAGCUACAACAAAAGAGAAUUUGGACAAGCGAAGACUGGGAUGGUUGUAAGAAAAUGCAGGUUUCGUGAUCAAAAUAGAACUAUUAUGCACUUAUUUUUAUCUUGCCCAUUAGCACACUUUUUAAUGAGGUAUAUCGAAUAUGUUUGAACUGAUAUUAUCCAAGUCACAAAUACAUAUGUAAAGUUUUUUUAUGUUGAACUAUCUAAACCGCCACAAUGACAUUAUCCACUGAUGCAUAUGUAGAGCUGAAUUAAUAGGAAUCUCACAUGGACCAACGAGUCAAGAAACUAUGGGCGAGUAGGAAGCAGAUAGGUCUCGGAUGUGUACACUACACAGCAAACUCACGAAAACGCAGAGCUCACAGAUAGAGCAGAUACUGAUUAAUUUCAACGAAUUCACAACAGAGAUCCACUUGGGCUAGCUAGCCCUGACUGAAUACCAGAAUAACAUGGAGCCUGUCUAGGAGCCUUGUGUGUAGCUGUAGUCCCGGUACUAAGCCGUGUUCUGUUUUCUACUGCUGUUUUUCCUUUUCUACUUUCACCUUGCUGUUUGUACUGGAUUCACCAUGUUAUUUAGCUCGUUAGCCCUUUUCUUCUCGAAGAAAAAGCUCAUUAGCCCUUUUAUGUUGGCUAUCUAUGUUUUCUUAGUGUAGAUAUUGAAGAUCAAAACUUUAGUUUUUUUUAGAAAUAUAUUGCUUAUUUAAUGCUCUCAUAGGUCGUAGCAGAGGACAAACAAACUCAGAAACUUCAUCAUUUGUUUCAAGUUCUUGGUGUCUUUGACAUACCCAAGGAAAAACAAGCACAGUAGAUUCAUCACCUUUUUUAAGGUCUCAUAGGCUCUUACCUACCCAAGGACAGACAAACUCAGGAGAUUCAUCAUUUGUAAAGUUCUUAUUGCCUACCUACACGAGGAGAAACCAGCACAAAAAGUUCAUCGUUUGUUUAAGAUUUCAUAUACUCUUACCUACUCAAGGACCAAGCUCAUAACCAAGGAAUCCUUAGUUACUAACCUAACAGAGAACCAACGAGAUCAGGUCAUUACCUGUACCAUGUACCCAGUUCUUCUAUAAGGAGCAGGCCUUCCCUAAGCCAAACAUGAAUAGCUCACUCUUCAUAUGAUUUCUCUGUACUAGAAUUGGUUAUUUCUAUUUCAUGCUUUAUUUAUUUGGUAUCUGCACACCACGGAUUAGAAUCGGAUAGGUGUACGCAUAGGAGGCACCAGGAACUAUAGAUGAUCCAUUGGUAACAAGAACUGCUGCAAUACGCGGACCCUAUGCCUCUCACCCGAACUUCACCACACUGCCCUCAUGUCUCUCACUUCUAACCCACAUCUGAACUAUUUUCCACGCGGUCAUUGACUAGUGAUAAGUAGACCGGCUAGGUGCCUAGGUGAAAGGAUAAUUCUGGUGAAAUCUACUCCCUCUGUUUCUAAAUGUAAGUCUUUGUAGAUAUUCCAUUAUAAACCGCAUACGGAUGUAUAUAGAUGCAUUUUAAGUUUAGAUUCAUCCAUUUUACUCCGUAUGUAGUCCACCUAGUGGAAUCUCUACAAAGACUUAUAUUUAGGAACGGAGGGAGUAUGUAUUCAGGGGUGGCAACGUGGCACGCGGCAUCUGGAGCUGAAACGACCACAGGGGGCGACGAGGCAGCUGCAGGGUGAAGGUUCAUUCUGGCCAGUUGCGUUCGCGUGUCAGCUACAGUCAAAGGUGGUGUAUAUUAGUAUCAUCUAUAGCAAAAUUUUGGGCGUGAUGUAAACUUGUUUGGGCACCAUAUAUACCUAUAGGGCAUCUGCUGGAGCCUUUUUUCGCCCAAAGUGACCCAAAAUGGCAGUUUUUUGGCACGCUGGCUAUUUUGUGUCAUAUUUUGAAGAUGCUCUUAGUAGAUAACUUAAGACUCAAAUCGGGGUGGAGGUGUGCUUUAUGUUGGACUAUUUUAAAUUGUUGCAACGAUACUAUCCAAACCAAUGCAUAUGUAGAGCUGAAUAAUAUCUCACAUGGACCAUCGAGUAAAGGAUCUACUACUACGAGUGAGUAGAAAACAGUAGAAGACGAACAUGUCUCACAUGCGUACACUACACGGGAACGCACGAAAAUGCAAAGAACAUACCAGUGUCUUCCCUUUUUUUAGUGGAAGAACAGAUUAAAUUAACGGAAAAGCUAAAAUCCUGCCGGCAGGAUUUUUGCAACAACAUGGUAUCGAACGCAGCACCUCUUGGUUUCUGGCAGUGCUCCGUAACCACACGGACUAUAUUCAGGUUGUGACCUCAUCUAGGUGUACGUUGUUUUUGUACUUGUAAAACCCAUGACGUGAAUAGUAAACUUCUUUUUCCUUUUUUACACCGAUUUUUCCUACUAUUUUUUCUUCGUUUAAUAGUCAAAUGGCUCAGCUACUCUGUUAGUAUUUUUUUACUACAUUGUGAUAGCUUUGACUAACAAAAUAAAUGUUGAAAUACACCACCGCUUUUGGGUGUAAAUAGUAUGAGAAUUUUAGGCAUCAUAGACCUGAUUACUCAUGUGCAACACCUUGAUAACUUUGGCACGUGGAGGGGGAGGGAGGUGUAGAAACAUACACACGGUAACUUCAUUCUAAAUACUAAUAGCAAGGUAAUUUUUACGUCGCAAGCCUGAUAACUUACAUAAAACAUUUGUGGUAACUUUUUGACCCGGAAAAAAUAGCUGUUGAAACAUACGACGUUUUUCUAAAAAAACAUGGUAAGAGCAUAUACAGUCUGGUGCCUCAAACCGCCCUCAAGCGCCCGGGCUUUCAUUUUUCCAUUUUCUCUCUGUGAAAUACUGCUUGGAUAAAUUAAGAAUUAAAUUCAGUUUCAAGAGAUAAAUCGGAGGGAUAGUAGAUGCAGUUUGUGUCAUGUAGAUGUCCUAUUAUAUUUAUGAAAACACUAAAAUCUGAACCACCCCGAUAACUUCUAUGUAAUAGCAUGUUCGGCUCCAUGGAGUCGAUAACUUGCAUAUAAAUACCCAGGGGUAACUUUAAUCCGGGGAAUAAGUUGUUGAAAAACACCUUGGUAACUUAUUUGUACAUCACAUGGUAAUAUACACAUUGCAGACCAGAUAACUUUGGUACAAAGACCACGUUAACGUUGACCCUUGAAAAAAAAUUGAAAAUGUACUCCGGUAAUAUCUGUGUAAAAUAACAUGGUAAUAUAGGCUCCCGGACCUGAUAACUUAGGCACAAACACCUCGAUAACUUUUGACCCGUGUAAAAUAGUUGUUUGGAAACAUACUUCGAUAACAUCUGUAUAAUAACAUGGUAAUAUAUGCUCCCGGAUAUGAUAACUUAGGUACAAACACCUCGAUAACUUUUGACCCAUGAGAAAAAGUUGUUGAAAACACACUCGGUAGGAUCUGUGUAAAUAACAUGGUAAUAUAUGCACACCAGAGCUGAUACCUUAUUUACCCCAGAUAUGCUAUCUUUUGACACACACAAAAAAAAUUGAAACAUGCCAAAUGGUAUCUAGUUUCGAAGGUCUCGCCGCGGUGGAUUUUUUUUUGUGAAAACAGAUUGUGGUUGAGAUAGGCGAUUCGAGCGACAACACAUUUUGAAAUUUCAAAGCAAAAGAAUCCCCGAUGACAUUAGCUUUUCUGCACUUUUAGUGCAUUUGCAUGUGGGGAGAAAGUUGAAAGAAGUCAUUUUUAUGCCCGAAAUUUGCGUAUGUAAACAUCAUGGUAACCGAUGUGUCAUAUACAUGAUAACUGGUAUACCCUAUGCGUGGUAACUUUUACCUGGGAAAAAAAGUCGUCGGAACAUAUCAAUAUGAGAUCUAGUUUCGAAGUUCUCGCCGCGACGGUUCUUUUAUGUGAAAAUAAUUUUUCGAUCGGAGCGAUGGUUUGGCCUACAAAACAUUUAGCAUUUCUUGAAUCAUGAGGGGAUCUAUAGUGAUGUCAUCAAUUUUGUCUCACAUGCAUGCAUGUAAUUAAACUUUCUAACAAAUGUCAUGCAUCGUACAUGAUGGAGAAAAAAGCAUUAAGUAUCACAUGCAUGUGGAGGAAAACAGAUGCAAUCGCGAGCUAGAUAUGGGCUGCAUGUGGAUCGUCCGGAUCUAUCGCUAUAAUCAGGACGUCUGGAAGUUAGCACUGUCCUUAAAUUAAUUUCAAGGAAUUCACAGUAGAAAUCCAAGCCUUGCCUGAUCUGAUUUUCCUUAUUUCUUAGUUCUUACACACUAUGUAUAACUUUUCGCCACAAACAAGCGCAGAUGUAAGGUAAAUAUCCAUCAGUCUGCUUGUACUUGCUAUCGCCCUGAGUUCUACCUGUCAAAGAAAAUGCAGUUUCAGUUACUGCUCCCAGAUGAUGCAAAGUACUGUAGGUGGGUGCGCCGUGCCACGGGUGUCGGCGUUCUGUAUGAAGUUGCCCAUGACCAUGCGCGCGUCGUGCCUGGCGUCAUCGACUGAUAGCGCCACCACGUUCAUCGACGCGAUGGCCAGCUUGCGCGCCCCCAAUGACUUUGUUGUUGCAUCCGCUGGUGCCUUGACAUCGUCAGAUGUUCCAACUGACCAAGUCUGUCUCUGAAAGAAUGCCUAGGUGCAGCAGUGUUCCUGCCAUCUUCAGAUUUCAUGGAUGGAAUGUAGUUUUGUUUAUAGUUUUGAGAUGCCCCUGCAUGGAUUUUUUUUGUGUGUGUUUUCAUCCCAAAGACUAGCCGAUCUUAUGUUAAGUCUUUUACUCUGGUACAAUCCCUUGGCUUCAAGCAGUUUACUAGUGUGGCAGGUAAGUGCUUUCCUGAAAUUAUAUUCUUGGAUGGAGAGAGCUCUUUGAUCUUCAAGCUGCAUUGCUCAAUUGAUUUACUGAUCAGUGAAAGGUUGUUGCUCCAUCUCUUGAGCCAUCUUCUGGUGGCCUUAUACGUGGCAACAAUGUCUUGGGCGGGGUGGCUAACUGGCUAUACCAAUGUGAAGGAAACCAAUUGCGCCCAGUCAUGCAGCAUGGGUGGAGCCGUAGAGUAACUGAGAUGCUCGUGAUGGUCAUUAGUAGUAUAAUUUGCAAAGCUUGUUUUUCAUGUCUCUCCCUGUCACAUUUUUUUCUCUAUUAUUUUUAUUUAGUGUUCUUCUCAUUUUGUGUCUGCGUGUCAUUUUUUUCAUGUGUGUAUCUAGUUUGUUUGCUUUACUGCGUGUUAUUAGUAGUAAAAUGUGUCAGUCGAUUCUACUCUACUGGGAAUGAGAAGUAGCACCCAAGGCCGAGUCCCGUGAGCCUCGGCCUAAGAUGUGGACGUCGUGGACGGUCAUGGCGAAUCGCCAAUGAGGGAUGGGACAAGAACUUGCCGGAGGCGAGGCAUGGGAGAGAGGGGAGAGAAAUCAGGUUGGAUGCAAUCUCUUAAUUAAAUGAUGAGACAAAUUUUGUGCCUCCGUUUAGGGAAAAAAAGGUUGGACGCAAUCGAAUCAAACAGUGCUUUGUUCGUUCUAAUCCAGAAAACGGUUGGAGGAAGAAAAAACAUAUAUGUUUGUUCACUUUCCGAUCCAACGAUUUGAAUGCAAUUGAUUGAAAUUGGAAAAUUAAGUCGCCUCAGGUUUAGGUGGUCCUUUUCAAUUAGCCAUUGCACAUCAGAUAAUCCCAGAAUAAUUGUGGAAGGUGGUCGUGACAAUGCCAGUUUAAACAACUAUUCAAAUUUAGACAAUGAGAAGGGGAAUCUUUUAGAUUUUUCAUGAAGUUCAAUCCAGAAAAUAAUAAUCAAGAGGACAUCCUAGAGGUGAAACUUAUGACGAUUUAUCUGGCCAAGAGACAUGGACGGUCUAAUUAACACAUUGAGUCAGAAAAUACUAGUAUCAAUUAGGCGAACUUGUACCUCUUUUCUCUCGGCUAAUUGCAUCAUCUUGGUGUAGAGACCGAAGAUCAAUACUUCUAAAAUAAACUUAUGAAAUGUAGUGUUUGUUUAAAGCUCUUGGGGCCUAAUAGACUGACCUAGCCGAGGACGAACAAGCUCAUGGCAUUGAUAUUUUGUUUCAAGUUCUCAUUAUAUCUUUCUUUCUUUUUUUGCGGGUGAAAUUCUCAUUAUAUCUGACCUGCCCGGAGAGAAACAAACAUAACAAAUUUGGUUCUUACUACUCAGGGACCAGCUCAUAACCAAGGAAUUCUUACCUAUUAAAGUGACGGAAAACCAAUGGCUUCAUGUCAUUACCUCUACCAUGCACCAAAGUCUUUUAUAUGGAGUGGGCCUUCCCAAAGCCAAAGAUGAAUAGCUUAUUCCUCGUUUUAUUUCUCUGUAGUGGAAUUAUUGAUUCCUGUUCCGUGCAUUAUUUGUUUCAUAUUUGCAUGCUAGGGACUGGAAUAUUGUAGGUGGGAGCAUAGGAGGCACCAGGAACUAUCGAUGAUCAACGAAUAAUCAAAACAGCAACUCGACAUUGCCCUGCUGCAUCUUCCUCCUACUCUACCAUACUUGCUUUGUCUUAGCCGGUCACUGAUGACAAGUGUACUGGAUGGAUCCACCUAGUGUAGAUUCUAAUUUUAGAUUGGCUGGAUCUAAGCAAGUAUCUGUUGAAUCUUCAUUCUUCUCCCCGCAAAAAAUAAAUAAAUAAUCAUUCUUCUGGAGCCAAAAUUUUGUUGCCCAAAAUGACCCAAAUGUCUGUUUUUGUCAUGGAGGCUAUUUUUGGUUUUAUGUUGGAAAUGCUCUUAGUAGAUAGCUUAAGACUCAAAUCCUGGUGGAGGCGUGGUUUACGUUGGAAUCUUUUAAACUGUCGCAACGACAUUAUCCAACCAUGUGUAGAGCUGAGUAAUACUAUGACUCGCACAUGGACCAUUGAGUCAAGGAUCUACUACUACGAGCGAGUAGAAAAUAGUAGACAGACGAACAGGUCUCACAUGGUUAUUACUACUCCCUCCGUUCACUUUUGUAAGUCGUUUCAGACAACUAAAAAUGGGAUGUUUUGUAUGAUGUCUGAAAUUUCUUCAGCGCCUUAUAAAAGUGAACAGAGAGAGUAGUAAAAUUUGCAAAGCUUGUUUUUCAUGUCUCUCCUUAUACAUUUUUUUAUCUUUUCUUUUUAUUUAGUUUUCUUCUCUUUUUAUGUCCGCGUGUCAUUUUUCUCAUGUGUGUAUCUGGUUUGCUUUGCUUUACUACGUGUUGUUUAGUAGUAAAAUGUGUCGGUCGAUUAUAAUCUACUGGGAACAAGAAGUAGCACCCAAGGCCGAGUCGGGUGAGCCUCGGCCUAAGAUGUGGACGGUCAGGGCGCCGGCAAUGAGGGAUCAGACGAGAACUUGCUGGAGGCGGGGCACGGGAGAUAGGGGAGAGAAAUCAGGUUGGAUGCAAUCUCUUAUAAUUAAAUGAUGAGGCAAUGCCCCCGUUUGGGGGGGGGGGGGGAGGUUGGAUCCGAUCGAAUCAAACUGUGCUUUGUUAGUUCUAAUCCAGAAAACUGUUGGAGGAAGAAGAAACAUAUCUGGCGGUUUGUUUUCCGAUCCAACGAUUUGAAUGCAAUUGAUUGAAAUUGGAAACAAUUAAGUCGCCUCAGAUUUAGGUGGUCCUUUUUAAUUUGCCGUUGCAUAUCAGAUAAUCCCAGAGUAAUUGUGAAAGGUGGUCGUGAUUGUGCCAGUUCAAACACAUUCCUGAAGUCGGAGCUGCAGAGGAGGUGACUCUGCGGUGACGAUGACACGAGACGGAUGCUCGGUUCCGGUGCCGGCUCAACGCAGGCCCAGUGCUUUUCCCUUGCAAUGCUCGUCGACAGAGUCGGAGCUGCCUGGUCGUCAGCGCGUGUGGUGGACUGUUUGGCAUCGACCGACACAGGCCUUGGCGCUUGAGCGGUGACGGCUUCAUCGGUGGUCGUUGAAGGUGGAGUCGCCCUCGCGGAGGAGUGAUGACGAUGACACCGGAUUGCAAUCUCGACGGCGUGUGUGCGUUCUUGUGUGGGUUGCCAGGUCGCCCUGUUUGCCUUGUUUUUGCGGGCAUGUUGUGACGGUUUUCGCCUGGUUUUCCGUUAAUUAAUUGGGCAACUCUCUUCGACAUUUUUUAAUGAAUCAGGCCCUAAGGGACCGCGUUUCAAAAAAAUGGACAAUGAGGAGAAGGGGAAUCUUUUGAGAUUUUCCCGAAAGUUCAGUCCCCAAAAUCGUUAUAAAAUAAACUAUGAAAUGUAGUGUUUGUUUAAAGCUCUUGUAGCCUAAUAGACUGACCGUGCCGAGGACAAACAAGCUGAGGGCAUUAAUCUUUUGUUCGAAGUUCUCAUUGUAUCUGACGUACCCGGAGAGAAACAAGCACAACACCAAGGAAUUCUUACCUAUUAAAGUGACGGAAAACCAAUGGCUUCAUGUCACUACCUCUACCAUGCACCAAAGUCUUUUAUAUGGAGUGAGCCUUCCCAAAGCUAAAGAUGAAUAGCUUAUUCCUCGUCAUAUCUCUUUAGUGGAAUUAUUGAUUUAUUCCGUGCAUUAUUUGUUUCAUAUUUGUACACUAGGGACUGGAAUAUUGCAGGCGUAGGCAUAGGAGGCACCAGGAACUAUCGAUGAUCAGCGGAUAAUCAAAACAGCAGCUGGACGCAGCCCCGCUGCAUCUUCCUCCUACUCUACCAUACCAGCCAGUACUGCCUGGAACCACCUAGUGCAGAUUCUUGAUGAUGAUCAGCCUAAGCAAGUCUCGGUUGAAUCUUCAUUCUUCUGGUCUUUUUCUUUUUCUUUUGAAGCCUAUAUAUGCCGACUUAGUGAAUGUUAAAUAUAACUUUCACAUUAAAUUUAUUUGAAAGCUCAACCUUCCCUUUGAAAAUCUUUAUUCGGUAUCGACGUUGAGGAGUGGCUUUAACAAAUAGGACAAGCUAAAAUUAGAAUGGUUAUAAGAAAAUGCAGGUUCUGCGAUCAAGAUGGAAAUACUAUGCAUCUGUUUUUAUCUUCUCAUUUGCACGCUUUUACGUUGGACUAUUCAAAACCGUCGCAAUGACAUUAUCCAAACCAAUGCAUAUUUAGAGCUGAACAGGCAUCUCAGAUGGACCAAUGAGUCAAGAGACUAUGGAUGGGUAGGAAAACAGUAGACAGGCAGACAGUUCUCAGAUGCAUACACAAACACACGAAAACGCAGAGCCCACAGCAAGAACAGGUGCAGAUUAAUUCCAACGAAUUCGCUGGCAGAAAUCCACCUUGGCUAGCUAGCCCUGACUGAAUACCAGAAUAACAAGGAGGGUAAACCAUAGACCGGAUUAUGGCAAUAGGAAAAGGAAUCAACGAUUCAAGAAACU
This 55147-nucleotide long non-coding RNA is filed under the name Triticum aestivum (bread wheat). RNAcentral describes it as "long non-coding RNA (TAES_LNC010417)". Lineage: Eukaryota; Viridiplantae; Streptophyta; Magnoliopsida; Poales; Poaceae. The record is from RNAcentral.